This 57216-nucleotide long non-coding RNA is filed under the name Brachypodium distachyon (stiff brome). Its description in RNAcentral is "long non-coding RNA (BDIS_LNC004316)". Lineage: Eukaryota; Viridiplantae; Streptophyta; Magnoliopsida; Poales; Poaceae. The record is from RNAcentral.
UCCGAUCUUGGUAAAAAUAAGAAGCCCGAACAAUCCGAUUAAAUAGAAAUUCGUGUUGGCCCAACAGUUGCAAGGUGAUUUCUCUGUGGACAUUCUGCCAAUCCUAGCCCACGUCCAGGUUACUGUUCCGUUUUUCUGGAUCCCCGUCGAUACAUGAUCUGCUGCUCCUCCGGCCAUAAUCCACCACGGAACAACCGAACAAGCCACCGCUCGCCCGCUCCAAAAGGCCGGCUGAAUACAUGCUGCGGCGGCAAGUGGAAAGCAGAUGAUCGAGCUGAGUACUCGAUGGCGCAGAGAAGACGGAUCGAGCAUCCAGUCUCGUCCUUGGCCACACGAGAGGAAGGGCUCUUCCUCCUCCAGCGCCAUUGAUCGAUGUGGUGUUUUUGUUCAAGUGGUUUUCUCUUGUUCGGUUUCUCUGUUGGAUCUUGGAUGGUUUGAUUUCUGGGUAACUUUAUUGAUUCCUCGAUUUGAUGAAGGUUGUAUUCGGUCUCGCCGAGAACCGGAACCGAAAUCAUCGGACGAAUCACGCAACUGCAAGUUGAAAUAUCUGAAAUAUCUAGGAAGAAGACAUAUUUGGGUCACGAGCUAAGGAGCCAUGCCAAACAAAAACAACAAGAGGUGAGUGCGCUCCUCCACUAAUCCUAAUGAUGAUAUUGAUGAGAAUUUUAUCCUGGUAAGACUAGUGUGCUACUUGUGUUCAUGUUUACAUCAAGAAGUCAAGCAUGCUUUUCGGACCAUCAAAUGACACACGAGCAGCUUCAGAUUUCAUCUCUAGUCUUGGUGCACCAUGCUGUCAAGCACAUAUGGAGAUCGAGUGAAGCUGACCAAAUACGAAGUCUAUUUUUACCCAAGAAAAAAAAUAUAUGAGUUCGACUACAACAUUUUCAGGGCAUUAGUUGCUGCACGAGGCUCCAUGAUCCACGAGGGGUGUUCCUAGUAGAGAAAAUUAUAGAACCACCACAUUUGGGACAACCUUUUAACAAAACUACAUUUGUUUCAAUUUUUUUUUACAAAUGACCAUCGCUUUUGAGCACCAAGGUACUUCCCUGCACUGAUUAGCGAGUUAAGAGCGUUUUGAUGCAAAACCUGACAAAAAGACCCACAUGUCGGUGCCACUGUGGCGCCACGCUGGACAAGCUCUGUUCCCCUCCCGAGCUCUCCUUCUCCACUGCUUCCCUUCUUCCCUCCCUCGUUUUCUCCUUAGCUGAGCCGCCUCCUACUCCUACUCUGGCGAGCUUGUCGAGCUCAAGUCGCCGUCUCCCUCGCUCAAGAUCCGCGCCCCCAAUUUGUAAUCCGCUUAACAACCUUCACCCAGUAGUUGGACCAGGCGCUUCCGCCGAUCACCUCCCUGGACCCGGCAGUCAUCCUGUAUUGGUAGCACACACGCCACUGGCGCCGCCGGCCGUGUCGUCCGUGAUGCUAGCGUCGUCCCUGACGUGGAGCGCGGCAGCGCACGAGCAGCCUUGAAGGCACCGGUCCACGCACUGCUGCAUCGUCACGUUGGUCAGCGGCAAGUCGGCCUUGAGCAUGAUGGUAUCUCCUCUCACCUCCACCAUGUAGUACGACGGCGUUGUGUUGCAGGUCAGGGAGGAGGCAAGUGUACGCCAUACAGGGAGAAGUCGUCGCAAGUCUCGGAGGAGGAGCAGACUCCGUGGAUGCCGCAGGCGAGGGGAAGCUGGUAGAACCUGUGCGCCUUGUACGUGGCGCUGAACCCAUUGAGGCCUUGGUCCAAGAAGUAGAGGCCCAGGUUGCCGUUGUUCCCGAGCUCAAAGAAUCUGACCCCCUGCAGCCCCGCACCCGAUUUCUCCACCGCCGGCAGGAUUCGCGUCCCAGGCUGCCCCGACAAAUCGAGCAUCGUUAGCCCCGACACGUCCAUUCCUGCGAAUGCCUUACUCUUGUUGUUGCGAGGAGUCAGGUCCCAGUAGGAGUAACGGCGGUGCCCGAAGACGAGAUAGGCGGUGAUCUUGUAUGAGAAAAGAGUUUAGUGACUAUGACUAGUGUGCUCAAGCCACAAAUUAGCAGACUUCUUUAGGUGAGGAAAUAUACUACUUGUCAUUUGCUGAAGGUAAAAAAAUGGUAUUUACACUUGUGUCUAAAAAAUUUGCAUGGUCCCCAAUAAAAAAUGUCUGAAACAUUCAUAAGUCUUACAUCACAAGAAGAUCACUACUUCGAUAUUUUUGUAUGAAUGUAAAAGGCACUAACUCAGGACAUAUAUAUUACACAAACUACUAUGGACACUGCAUGUAAAAAUGUCGAGGCGUGUCAUUUUACUAUAUAGCAUCACUACUUCUCCCCAGUAGUUGCUAUGUCAAGCUUCUUUCUUAUGAAACGGCUUCCCACUGGAUGGACACUGCAUGUAAAAUACACCAAAGAAUUUAGCCACAGAGUAUCACAAUAUAUAUCAAUGCUUCAAGCAAUACAAUAGGAUGCGUAAUCUUGGGACAUAUAUAUUGACAGAAACUAUUGGUUAUUUUUAACAAUGUACAUGAAUGAGGCGCAUAGGAUUGUUCCCUUGAUACUUGAUCCGGUGAAGAAGGGAACCAAAAGCAGACUGUGGAUGUCGUAUCGUCCCUGACGUGGAGCGCGGCAGCGCACCAGCAGCCUUGAAGGCACCGGUCUACGCACUGCUGCAUCGUCACGUUGGUCAGCGGCGAGUCGGCCUUGAGCACGAUGGUGUCUCCUCUCACCUCCACCAUGUCGUACGACAACGUCGUGUUGCAGGUCAGGGCAGCGGCAAGUGUACGCCGUAUAGGAAGAAGUCAUUGCAAGUCCCGGAGGAGGAGCAUACUCUGUGGACGCCGCAGGCGAGGGGAAGCUGGUAGAACCCCGAGCGCCUUGUACAUGGCGCUGAACCCAUUGACGCCUUGGUCAAAGAAGUAGAUGCCCAGGAAAUAUACUACUUGUCAUUUGCUCAAGGUAAAAAAAUGGUAUUUACACUUGUGUGUAAAACAUUUGCAUGGUCCCCAAGAAAAAAUGUCUGAAACAUUCAUAAGUCUUACAUCAGAAGAAAAUCACUACUUCGAUAUUUUUGUAUGUAUGUAAAAGGCGCUAUCUCAUGACAUAUAUAUUACACAAACAACAAAGAGAUAUAAACGGCCUAGGGUGUCGUCAAUACACUGGACUUGCACGACUAACUGCUUUUUUAUAUAUGCAAGUGAAGUGGCGACGUGAUUGCAGGCGUUAAUCCAUGGAUGAGGGUAGCUUCAUCGAUCCAAAGAGGUUUCCCAAGAGAUGGCACAGUGGGGAUAUGUCUCUCCUGCAUUUCCAUACCACGAGAUGCGCCCUGGCUUGGAAGCCAGGACUCGGAGACCUUGUAAUCGUUUUGCUAUUUAGUUAGGUAUCGAGCUUCCUUGUAACUUGGCUUUCGACAAAUAACUGAAUGGAACAAAUGGUUGUUAGGGUGGACGGGAGGAGCAGCUAACGAACCAAAAUAUUCCUUGUGAUUUAGUUCUUGAUAGUUCGUAGCUAAAUCCAGAGUCUUACAGCUUGACAUGUCCUAGAGGAGAAAAUUCGCUAGCUACAGUACCGACAGCUCCACUCCCUUUGUCGUCAUCCAGCUUGUUAUCCGUGGCAAUGAAACAAAUCAUUCCCUCACCAGUGUGAGAGUUAGCAUCUACUCUAGCAUUGUUUACGAAAUAAUUUGUAAGAAGAGAGUUCAUUAGUGUGCUCAAGCCACAAAUUAAUUUGACUUCUUUGUCGAGGAAAUAUACAGCUUUUCAGCUGAAGGUAAAAAACAUGGUAUUAACACUUGUGUAAAACAUUUGCAUGGUUCCCUAGAAAAAUGUCUGAAACAUUCAUAAGUCUAACAUCACUAGAACACUACUCCGAUUUUGUUGUAUGAAUGUAAAAGGCACCAACUCCUAACAUGUAUACUUGUGUGGUUCAGCUGCUGCUGCCAAUUACUCAAGUUCAGUUGCAGAUUUGGUAAACGGCCUCCCCUAUCAGCUCCUUGUCUAUUGGCUUUGUCAGGUGGAGAUCCAUCCCUGCUUCAAUGGCCUCCUGCAGGCCUUCCUCCAAGGAAUGCGCCGUCAAUGUGAUGAUCGCGGGGUGCGGAUCCCGUAGCGGCUCUCUUCCUUGCGGAUGGUCUUGGUCGCCUCAUAGCCGUCCAUCUCAGGCAUCUUAAACAAAACAGAGAGGGAUUAAUUGAUGUCUGAAUUGGAUCUUGUUGAUGGACAAUCAAAUUAAAUGAUCAAAUCAAAUACUGUAAGUUGAAUUACCUGGCACUCCAUUAAAACAACAUCGUAGGGCAAGCCCAAUGCAUCUAGGGUACGUCUACCUGUUCUCAUAGUUUCGAGGGACUUUGGGUGAGCUGUGUCCCCACUUUAUGGUAUAUUCAAAGAUAUUAGGCAUGAAAGAAACGGCAACAAAUAUCAGAUGUCACAGAAGAACUCAACGGAAGAAAAUGUAUUAGUGAUGUUAUGGCAAAUAAUAAAAACAAAAAGACUGAUAUAGCAUAGUAAACGGUGGAUGUCAUGUAACGUUUAAAUGGCAAAUGUAGUUUGUCUCUUUCUAUAUGGUAUUACAAAUAUUAGGAUGCGGUACCCUGUUAUGUCUGAAACAUUAGGUUCCUCAGGAAAAAAAUGUUUGAAACAUUUAUAAGACUUAUAUGUAGCAAAAGCCAAAGUGUUCACUCUGCCUUUUUUAUCACCUGACAACCGUACUGAUGAAGUCUUACGGCUAACACAUGCCCGAUAAGAUUGCAGAUGAGCUUGCUUCUGUAGGUUUCUGGUCCAUAGUCAAGAAGCUGAUGAAAAAGAUACAAGGUGAGUACUAUACUGUAUGCUCGAGCUCGAUUAAACCGUACAUUAGUAUAUACUCCUAUAAGAUGAAAACCGACAUAUAUGAGUUUGAGGAAGAAACCUUCAUGGUAACAGAAUUUUGGCGAACACAUCAUCGUAGACCAAGUGUGGAAACUCGAGGCGUUGUUUCACUAUAUAGCAUCACUACUUCCCCAGUAGUUGCUAUGUCAAGCUUCUUUCUUAUGAAACGGCUUCCCACUGGAUGGACACUGCAUGUAAAAUACACCAAAGGAUUUAGCCACAGAGUAUCACAAUAUAUAUCAAUGCUUCAAGCAAUACAAUAGGAUGCCUAAUCUUAAGGACAUAUAUAUUGACAGAAACUAUUGUUGAUUUUUAAUAAUGUACAUGAAUGAGGCGCAUAGGAUUGUUCCCUUGAUACUUGAUCCGGUGAAGAAGGUAACCAAACGCAGACUGUGGAUGUCACAUCGUCCCUGACGUGGAGCGUGGCAGCGCACAAGCAGCCUUGAAGGCACCGGUCUACGCACUGCUGUGCAUCGUCACGUUGGUCAGCGGCGAGUCGGCCUUGAGCACGAUGGUGUCUCCUCUCACCUCCACCAUGUCGUACGACAACAUCGUGUUGCAGGUUAGGGCAGCGGCAAGUGUACGCCGUACAGGGAGAAGUCAUUGCAAGUACCGGAGGAGGAGCAUACUCCGUGGACGCCGCAGGCGAGGGGAAGCUGGUAGAACCCCGACCGCGUUGUACGUGGCGCUGAACCCAUUGAGGCCUUGGUUAAAGAAGUAGAUGCCCAGGUUGCCGUUGUCCCCAAGCUCAAAGAAUCUGACCCCCUGCAGCCCCACGCCCGAUUUCUCCACCGCCGGCGGGAUUCGGGUCAUGGGCUGCCCCGACGAAUCGAGCAUCGUUAGCCCUGACGCGUCCAUUUCUGCGAAUGCCAUUGGUCUUGUUGUUGCGAGGAGUCAGCUCCCAGUAGGAGUAAUGGCGGUGCCUGAAGACGAGAUAGGUGGUGAUCUUGUAUGAGAAAAGAGUUUAGUGACUAUGACUAGUGUGCUCAAGCCACAAUUUUGGUGAGGAAAUAUACUACUUGUCAUUUGCUCAAGGUAAAAAAAUGGUAUUUACACUUGUGUGUAAAACAUUUGCAUGGUCCCCAAGAAAAAAAAAUCAUGGUAUUUACACUUGUGUAAAACACAUUUGCAUGGUUUCCUAGAAAAAGUGUCUGAAACGUUCACAAGUCUAACAUCAGAAGAAGAACAUUACUCCGGAAUGUAAAAAAUGUCUGAAACAUUCAUGAUUUUGUUUCUGGAAAUCCAGCAUGACGCAACACAAAUAGGCGAGAUACAAGUUUUUUGCUACAACAACAUAAGUUCAGCUGCUGCUACCAAUUACUGAAGUUCAGUUGCAUAUCUGGUAAACGGCCUCCACUAUCAGCUCCUUAUCUAUCGGCUUUGUCAGGUGGAGAUCCAUCCCUGCUUCAAUGGUCUCCCGCAGGCCUUCCUCCAAGGAAUGCGCCAUCAGCGUGAUGACCGCGGGGUGCGGAUCCCGUAGCGGCUCUCUUCUCAGCCAGCUUUAAGGCCCCAAGAAAUACAAGAUGAAAAGAAUGAGAUCGAAAAUUCUCCCUAGCUUAUUUUGCCAACCUACCCAAAUUCACAUUCAUAGCAAUUGGAGCUAGGGUAAAGCAGUGUCCCAAGCUUCUCCCAUCGACGCUUUGAAAGUACCCAACACUUUGCUCUGAAAUUACGGUCCCUACCACUGUGUGCUCUCCACACCCUCUAACCCAUCCCCGACCCCCUGGCUCUUGUUCUUACCCUCUUGUCCACUCUCACCUCGCCCUCCUUCUCCAGAGAACUAGGGUUCCCCACCGCCGCCGCCCAGAUCCCUCCCCACUUCCCUGCGCAGCUCCUCCCCCACUCGCUCCGUCACCCUCUCAGGCCCUGGCUCGCAAGUCCAGAUUUGGCAGCUGUCGAUCCGACAUGUCCACCCCGACGCCGCCGCUUUCUUGAGGUAUGGUCCCGCCUCUCCCCCUCCCCCUUUCUUGAGAUAAUAGUGUCGCUAUUUGCAAGACAUAGGAUGAUUUAAUGUCUUGUUUACAUAUGCUUUCGUAGAAUCAUCGUUUUGUUAAACUAGGAUUCCAACAUUGUACUACUACAAAUGCAGGCUCACCAAUCUCGUGUGAAUGUCUAGAGAAAAUAAAAUGGUAUAAUAUAUUCGGUGAAACAAGAUUUCUUCGAGAGUAUUGGUCGAAUACCGUUGUUACUAUUUGUUUUCUUUCUUUUUCCUUAUUUAGCAUUUUGGUGAUCACGUAUCAACUUUCUGACACAAAUUGUGUAUGGUAUAUUUUUCUCAAUCCUUUCUUGUUUCAUAAACCACAUUGUAACUAGUACGUAAUUCUAGUUGCUGAAUUUACCAUGCUAUAUUUGACCAAUGUUAUUUAUGUCAAGAGUUAUUAUUGUCAUCUAUCCCCUAUGAAGGAAAACAGAGAGAACCUGUGAACUCAAGUUCCAGCACUAGUUUUAUUUUUCACUAUUUCCUAUGAUGAAUGUUUACCAAUGGCCUGUUUUUUUUUAUUUUGGCAAAACUGUUAUCAGUGUCGGUUGCUCACCUACUGCCCGCCACUGAUGUGGUCGACAUAAGUAACGGCUCUGCUGCCCGCCACUGAUGGGGUGGACAUCAGUAACGGGUAAGCCGCCCGCCACUGAUGAUAAACUCAUCACUGGCAAGAAGUUAGUGGCGGGCGGCCUGCCUGUUACUGAUACACUUUUUCGACCGUCACAGAUAACCGUUUUUGUAGUAGUGGAGGUUUCCCAAGAGAUGGAAAUAGUGGGGAUACGUCUCUCCAGCAUUUCCAUCCAACAAGAUGCGCCCUUAUUUCGCUAUUUCGAAGAUCCAUGCAACAUAGCGGUGUCAGCACACCUGCAUCGCCUGCCAGUAGCGAGGAAAAGAAGGACAAGACUGCUGGGGCGACACCAAAGCCAGGAGGACGAUGUGUCUGCCGGCCUGGCUUGCAAGCCAGGACUGGGUACAGUGAGACCUUGUAAUCGUUUUGCUAUUUAGCUAGGUAUCGAGCUUCCUUGUAAGUUGGCUUUCGACAAAUAACCGACGGAUCGGAACAGAUGGUUGUUAGGGUGGAUGGGAGGAGCAGCUACCGAACCAAAAUAUUCCUUGAUUGAGUUCUUGAUAGUUCGUAGCUAAAUCCAGAGUCUUACAACAUAGACGUGUCCUAGAGGAGAAAACACGCUAGCUACAGUACCCACAGCUCCACUCCCUAUGUCUUCAUCCAGCUUGUUAUCCGUGGCAAUGAAACAAAUCAUUCCCUCACCAGUGUGGGAGUUAGCAUCUACUUUGGCAUUGUUUACGAAAUAAUUUGGUGAGAGGAGAGUUCAGUGACUAAGACAAGUGUGCUCAAGCCACAAAUUAGUUGACUUCUUUGGUGAGGAAAUAUACAGCUUUUCAUUUUCUCAAGGUAAAAAUCAUGGUAUUUACACUAGUGUAAAACACAUUUGCAUGGUUUCCUAGAAAAAGUGUCUGAAACAUUCACAAGUCUAACAUCACAAGAAGAACACUACUCCAGAAUGUAAAAAAUGUCUGAAACAUUCAUGAUUUUGUUUCUGGAAAUCCAGCACGACGCAACACAAAUAGGCCAGAUCCAAGUUUUUUGCUACAACAACAUAAGUUCAGUUGCUGCUACCAAUUACUGAAGUUCAGUUGCAGAUCUGGUAAACGGCCUCCACUAUCAGCUCCUUGUCUAUCGGCUUUGUCAGGUGGAGAUCCAUCCCUGCUUCAAUGGUCUCCCGCGCGCAGGCCUUCCUCCAAGGAAUGCGCCGUCAUUGUGAUGAUCGCGGGGUGCGGAUCCCGCGGCUCUCUUCCUUGUGGAUGGGCUUGGUCGACUGCCUCGUAGCCGUCCAUCUCGGGCAUCUGAAACAAAAGAGAGAGGGAUUAAUUGAUGUCUGAAUUGGAUCUUGUUGCUGGACAAUCAAAGUAAAUGAUCAAAUCAAAUGAGUUGAAUUAUGUGGCACUCCAUGAAAACAACAUCAUAGGCCAAGCCCAAUGCAUCUAGGGUAUGUCUACUUGUUGUCAUAGUUUCGAGGGACUUAAAGGGGUGAGAUAUCUCCCCACUUUAUGGUAUAUUCAAAAGAUUAUGCAUGAAGGAAACUGCAACAAAUAACAGAUAUCACAGAAGAAAUCAACGGAAGAUCGAAAAUGUAUUAGUGAUGUUAUGGCAAAUAAUAAAAAACUCGACCUGCAAAGGGGUAAGCCAUCCCAGGCAUUUGCAUUAAGAAGAAAACCUUCUCAGGCAGGUCGAAAACCCCCUGAACCACUGCCCCACACCACACACAGCGGCACUGAAGCCCGUUGGACCUGAGGAGUUCUAUUAGAUUUGUUCCCAUAAGCAUUACCCCAAGUGCUUCUUUGCAAUAUUAAAUGGCAAACAUAGUUUCUUUCUAUAUGGUAUUUACACAAUUAGGAUGCAGUACACUAAUAUGUCUGAAAUAAUGGUUCCUUGGGAAAAAUGUUCGAAACAUUUAUAAGGCUUAUAUGUAGCAAAAGCCAAAGUGUGUUUCACUGUGCCUUUUUUUUAUCACUUGACAACCGUACUGAUGAAGGCAGGGCUUAGGGCUAACACAUGCCCGAUAAGAUUGCAGAUGAGCUUGGUUCUGUAGGUUUCUGGUCCAUAGUCAAGAAGCUGACGAAAAAGAUACAAGGUAAGUACUAUACUAUAUGCUCGACCUCGAUUAAACCGCACAUUAGUACUCUAUAAGAUGAAAACUGACAUAUAUGAGGUUGAGGAAGAAACUUUCAUGACAACAGAAUUUUGGCGAACACAUCGUCGUAGACCAGUGUGGACACUCGAGGCGUCAUUUCACUAUAUAGCAUCACUACUUCCCCAAUGGUUGCUAUGUCAAGCUUCUUUCUUAUGAAACGGCUUCCCACUGGAUGGACACUGCAUGUAAAAUACACCAAACCAUUUAGCUACAGAGUAUCACAAUAUAUAUCAAUGCUUCAAGCAAUACAACAGGAUGCGUAAUCUUAUGGACAUAUAUAUUGACAGCAAGUAUUUUUGAUUUUUAACAAUGUACAUGAAUGAGGCGCAUAGGAUUGUUCCCUGGAUACUUGAUCCGGUGAAGAAGGGAACCAAACGCAGAGCUACUGCUAUUUAUUCCCGUACCCAAAAAACUGUGGAUGUUGUCCAGUCUGCCGCUAGCGUAUGCCAUCUCAACAUCACGAGCAUAGUGAUUCUUGAAAGCUUCGGGAGAGAAUACAUUUUGGUUGAGUUCUUGAAAAUUCGGUUCCGAUACAUUUUCUUCCGUUGAGUUCUUCUGCCCCACGCCUAGGGAGGCCGGACCCGCACCGCUGCUGUCCUCCCCGUGCCGGAUCCCGCCCCACUUGGCCUUCCUACGGUUGGAUCCCGACGUUGUGCUCGCCGCCACGCACCGUCAUCGGAGGUUGUCCAGCGCAGAUUGGUCUGUAUUUUUUUUCCUUUUUUAUUCAUCUCCAAACUUAGAAACUCCCCCGCGCCGGAUCCCUCCCCACCCGGAUCUCGGCGUGGUGCUCGCCACCACGCGUCGUCAUCGGAGCUUGUCCCGCGCACUGAUCUGGUGAGUAGUAUUUGUUUCCUAUUUAAUUCUUCUGCAAACUUAAAAACUCCUCCAUGCCGGAUCACGGCCUUCCUACGGCCAGAUCUCGCCGUUGUGCUCGCUGCCAUGCACUGUCGUCGGAGCUUAUCCUGCACAGAUCUGAUGAGUAUUUUUUCCCUUUUUUAGUUCUUCUGCAGACAAAAACUCCCUCGGGUCAGAUCCGCCCCACCUGGCCUUCCUACGGUUGGAUCCUGCCGUUGUGCUUGCCGCCACAUGCCAUCAUCGGAGGUCGUUAUGCGCAGAUUUGGUGAGUAUUUUUUUUCCUUUUUUAAUUAUUCCGCAAACUUUAAAACUCCCCAGUGUCGGAUCCCUCCAAACCUGACCCUUCCUACGGCCAGAUCUCGCCGUUGUGCUCACCAGUACGCGCCGUCAUCAGAGCUUGUCCUGUGCAGAUCUGGUGAGUAUUUUUUCCUUUUUUUAAUUAUACUGCAAAAUUUAAAACUCCCCCGUGCCGGAUCCCGGCCUUCAUACGGCCGGAUCCUGCCCUUGUGUUCGCUGCUGUGCACCAUCAUCGGAGCUCCUCCUGCACAGAUCUUGUGAGUAUUUUUCUUUCCUUUUUAGUUCUACCGAAAAACUACCCCGCACCAGAUCCACCCCACACGGCCUUCCUACGGCUGGAUCCUGCCGUACGUUGUGCUCAACACCAGGCGCCGUCAUCGGAGCUCAUCCCGCACAGAUCUAGUGAGUAUUUUUCUUUUCCUUUUUUUAGUUCUUCUACAAACUGAAAAACUCACCGGCACCAGAUCUGGGCCCCACCUGGCCUUUCUACGGCUGGAUCCUGCCGUUGUGCUCGCCCCAUGUGCCGUCAUCGGAGUCAUCGAGCUCGUCCCGUGCGGAUGUGAUGAGUAUUUUUUCCCUUUAAUUUAAUUGUUCUGUAAGAUUAAAAACUCCCCCAUGCCAGAUCCCGCCAUUGUGCCCGCUGCCACGCGUUGUCAUCGGAGCUCGUUCCAAAAUACAAGGGGGUCCCAAGUAUUUGAUAGGGAAAUGAGAGUUUUGUUUAAUCAGACAAUUAAUCCUCAUUAUUGGAUGCUAUGUUUACUUCCCACUUAAAUAAGAAUUCAUUUCAGUAGGAAUUAGCUAGGCAUCCUAUGCAUGUGUGAACCUUUUGUACGUAAGAAUAUUUCUAUUUUUCACUAAUGAAAGUAGCCUUCUCUCUCUUUCAACUGAGCAUAAUCAUACUCUCUUUCCACCACGGAGUGGCAUUUAAUUUUCAAAACAUGCAUAGCUAAUAAUGAUAGCACCUAAUAAUGGAUUUCCAUUAUUAUAUAAGACUUCAGAAAUGCCAAAACAUACCUUACCAUCAUUGCAUGAUCACAUCAUCAACUUCUUAGCCGCACUUCUAUGUUUGAGAUUAGUCCGGCCGGUUGUCCACGAUCAUCUUUAGGUACUCGAAGCUUCUUUCCUUUGUUGAUGCUUGUCAUGUUGUCAUCGGGGAAGUAUGAGAAAUGAUUUCCUCUGCCUGGAUGAUCCGGAAUAGCGCACCGUGCACCAUCGGAAAGCAAACGGCGUAGAGGUUAAUUUCGGUGCCCAUGUCACACACCAUAGGUGUGCCGGGCCAGUCGAUCCAGUACACGCAGAAGGUGGGCGGCGGAGGUGGAGUCUUGCUCCCAUCGCCACCAUUGGUGACAGGGAGGCUGUCCGGGUUAAUGCUCUCAUACCAACGCAACACAAUUUUAUGUGUAAAACAUUCGAUUCUUUAAGUAGAAUAAUGUUUGAAACAUUUACACUAUAACUCAUUAAUACAAUGUUAUGUGUAAACAUUUAGUUCUUUAGAGAAGAAUGUAUAAAACAUUUACACUAUAAUUCAUUACCUUCUUAUAAUUUGGGGACGUACUUAAUACAAUGUUAUGGGUAAAACAUUCGAUUCUUUGGAGAAGAAUGUUUGAAAGAUUUACACUAUAACUCAUUAAUACAAUGUUAAUUAUGUGUAAAACAUUCGGUUCUUUGGAGAAGAAUGUUUGAAACAUUUAGAAUAUAACGAGUUGCCUUCUUCCAAUUCAGGGACAUACUUAAUACAAUGUUAUGUUUAAAACAUUUGGUUCUUUGGAGAAGAAUGUUUGAAACAUUUACACUAUAACUCAUAAUACAAUUUUAUGUGUAAAACAUUCGAAUCUUUGGAGAAAAUGUUUGAAACAUUUACACUACUGCAGCCAUUACAUUCUAACAAUUUGGGGGCUUACUUAAUACAAUGUUAUGUGUAAAGCAUUCGGUUCUUCGGAGAAGAAUUUUCGAAACAUUUACACCAUAACUCAUUAAUACACUAUGAUGUGUAAAACAUUGGUUCUUUGGGGAAGAAUGUUUGAAACAUUUAGAAUAUAACUAAUUACCUUCUUCCAAUUCGGGGACGUACUUAAUACAACGUUAUGUGUAAAACAUUUGGUUGUUUGGAGAAGAAUGUUCGAAACAUUUACACUAUAACUCAUAAUACAAUUUUAUGUGUAAAACAUUCGAAUCUUCGGAGAAGAAUGUUUGAAACAUUUACACUAUGACUCAUUACCUUCUUCCAAUUUGGGGGCGUACUUAAUACAAUGUCCUGUGUAAAGCAUUUGGUCCUUCGGAGAGGAAUGUUUGAAAUAUUUACACCAUACUCAUUAAUACACUAUGAUGUGUAAAACAUUGGUUCUUUGGAGAAGAAUGUUUGAAACAUUUAUACUAUAACUCAUUACAUUCUUCCAAUUUGGGGGCUUACUUACACUACGCUAGAACGGGUUACCGGCGCACGAGCUCCGGUGGCGGUACAACUUGUCCAAAAAAUUCACCGCCACUCGACGUCGUUGGAGGAAUCCAAAAUGAAUACCAGUGGCGGUGAGCAACCACCGCCACUGCUAGUAGAGCACCGGUGGCGGUGAAAGCACUCGCACGACCAGCACCGGCAUCGGUGCUCUAGCACCCGUGGCGGUGGUCGUUCACCGCCACUGGAGCUCUUUAGUGGUCACCGGCGCACGAUCUACAGUGGCGGUUCAAGUGGUAAAAAAAACAAACCGCCAUUGGUAAGUUGUUGGCAGAAUCUGAAACGAGUACCAGUGGCGGUUAGCUUUCACCGCCGCUGAUACUGGAGCACCAGUGGCACCCGGGGUACCACCGCUGCGCGACGCGUGGGCCCCUGUUCCCGAGUUCCCGGGAAGGUUUCAUCCCGGGCAGCGUCUGUGAGCAGCCCGGCAAGCUACCAACCCGGAAGGGGCUAGCGGGGCUUCGGGGAAUAUUCCCGCCUGGGCACCUCCCGGGAAGCUGCUUCCCGGGUGCGUUGGGCCCGGGCGACUUCCCGGGGCUCGACUUGCCGAGACAGGGGGUUCCCGGGCGCAUGCCCCCGCCUCAAGCGUGGUGCCCAGUAGCCAGAUCAACAGCGCCACGCGAGCGCGUGGUGGGUGUGGGAUGCGCGGCCCCACCGGGGCAAGGAGUGAGGCGCACGGCUCAUUAAAUGAGCCGAUUGACGUGGCAUUACCCGUCCGAUCAAGGGAACAGUGGCUGUCCAAUCCUACUCUAGGGUUUUAGACCCCUAGCGGCGGAGGUCGCAUCCAUGCACGCCACCAGCUCACCGGGGGGGAGUUGUAUGCCUCCCUGCUCGACACUUGUAGCUCAUGCAUCGUGGCACCCGUGGCAUCCCCUUGAGUAUAAAAGGAGGACCCACGCCAACGGUCAGGGGGUUCGGAGGAAGUUCGGGUACUCUUAGUUAACUCCAGUAGACAGUAGGGUUCGGCUGAGUUCGAUCAGCCCACAGUUAGCCUCUAACAUUAGCAGAGGAUAGUGAGGAGCAUCUAGCCAGAGAGAGAGAGCCCGGGAACUCACCCGGCAACUUGUAAACAGUUGAUUCUAAACCAAUACCAGAUCAGACAAGCAGGACGUAGGGUUUUACACCUCCGGGUGGCCCGAACCUGGGUAAAAACGUGCAUGUGCCUGUUCUUUGAUUAGCGCGCACUUUCAGUAUUUCAUUUCGCCGGCCCUGCAGGGCCUCAUCGGCCGUGCCGGCGAUCGCCGGGGCGAACCCCGACGCCCCUGCCGAACCUAAAAGGGGGCCGUGACCGCACGCCCCCGGUGUCUGAGCACCGUGCGACGACAUCGGGCGCGCCAGGUAGGGGGCGCGGGAGUAGAGCUCCUCGGUAAUCGCCGGCAGCAGCGUUAGCAUCGAUGUCGGCUCCGCCUUCUUUGCCGACGGGACCAGCCACCAUGCCCCCCAAGCGGGCUGGUGAUCCACGGACAGACUCGCGUGCAGCCUCAGCGGCACACACGCGGUCGCACGACGUGCGACCUGAGUCGGAGGCUCAGGAGAACCCCGAGCCCUCGAGAGUGCAGCAACCAUAGCUGCCUCCCCCGCCUCCUCGGCCGUCUGUGGACAAUCGGUCGAGGGGACCGGUUACCCCCAGUGCCGGGGCCAGUCGCGCGAGCGGGCAUGGUGCCGCCCGCGCCGGCCAGCGAGUUGAGUCGCGGGCCGAGGAUGCUUCACGACAGCGGCACCAGGAGCACACCGCGUCGUGGGCAACUCCUGGGGGUUCGCACCCUGCGCACUCGGAGGCGUCCGGAGCCAGAGCGGGAAGCAGCCGCUCGGGAAACCGGCUGCCCCCCGCACGAACCCUGGCGGAAGCCAUCAUCGCCGCGUGCGUCAUGGUGCGGUACGAGCCGCAGCAAGGCACGCCGGCGCACGAGACGUGGGGCGAGGAGUUAGAAGCGCUUCUUGCCCUGGCCGCCCAGCAGCCGCAAGGCGAGGGCGCCCCAGUAGGCUCCGGCCACGGGCAGAACCCGGAGCGUGGGGACGCGCCACCUGCCUUGUGACAGGGGGAGAAUCCUCCCCCUCCGCAGGGAGGCCAAGGAGACGGGGGCCUGGAGGGGUCCUCGAACUCAUCGCCCACCGUUCCGGGGGGCGAUGCGCGUGGCAUCUUGAAUGCCCGCCAGUAGGAGGAUUUGCGCCCGCGCUUGGAGCGCCGGCGCAGGCGCGAGGUAGAGCGCCAGCGACCACAGGAGCAGGAAGAUGCUCCCAUGGGCCCCGAGGACGGUUGCACCGUGUUCACACGCGAGCUGCGGCGGGUGACGUGGCCCCGUAAGUUCUGAGCGCUCGCGCUCAGUACGUACGACGGGAUCGCCAACCCCAAGGAUUUCCUCCUGACCUACACGUUGGGCAUGCAUGCCAUCGGCGCCGACGACAAGGUCAGGGCAAACUGGUUCCCGAUGGUCCUGAAAGGAUCAGCGCGAACCUGGCUGCUCCACCUGCCCGCCGGGUCCAUCGCCACUUGGGCGGACCUGCGCGAGCAAUUCGUGAGCGCGUUCCAGGGCGGUUAUAAGCGCCCGGGAACCAUGGCGGAGCUGCACACUAUCGUGCAGAAGCCGGGAGAGACGUUGCGGGCCUUCGUCAACCGCUUUUCCAACCUCUCCUAUUCCAACCCAGAGGCGGAGGCGGCCGCCAUCAUCAACACCUUCGCCAUCAACGUCCGCGAUCCCAAGAUGCGCGAGAAGCUGAGCACGCAUCGGAUCCGGACGACGCAGGACCUGUACGCCUUGGCGCACAAAUGCGCCAUGGCCGAGGAAAGGCGCCUAGCGCCCGAGCUAGCAGCUAAGGCUGCCGCAAGCCCUCGAAAAGGGGUUCCCGCAAGCGCAGCGGGAAGCAAGUUCUCGCUGCGGACUCGGGGGCUCCUGCCACGAGGCCCGCGAAAAAGGCCUUGCCGGGUGGCGGGUCUGGCGGGAAGCAGGGCGAUUCGCCCCACUGCCCCAUCCACAUCAACUUCACCCACGACGCGCAGAACUGCCGCGUUCUGCAGGGGAUCAAGCAGCGGCGGGAGCAGCGCCAUGAGGAGCGCCGCGCCACCGGCUUCUGCUUCAACUGUGGCGACAUCGGGCAUCUCUCCCGAGAUUGCCCGAACGACCCCAGGGCAGGGCCAAGGCCUGCCGGCGGCGGAGCCGGCAGGGAUGAACCCCAAGGGGGGCGUGGUCAGCCCCACGCUGGGCGGGAACUCCCACCCCGGGGACGCGACAAGGCACGCGCUGAGGAGCAGCGCCAGUCCGACUGUACUGGCAGCGACGAGCCGGGCUUCCAGGAGCCUCACCGCGUCGCCUGCAUCCAUGGGGGAGCUUACGCUCUCUCAUGCCAUGCCGCGGUGAAGCAGCUCACCCGCGAUGUGUGCGCGCUGUUGCCGGAUGCGGAGCCGCAACAGCCGCUGAGGUGGUCUCACGUGCCGAUCACCUUCAGCGCCGACGAUCACCCAGCAGGACAGUUGGGUUCAGGAGUAAUACCCUUCGUUGUCUCGCCGAUCAUUAGUAAUAUGAUGGUGACCAAGGUUCUGGUGGACAACGGAGAGGGGCUUAACCUCCUGUCCGCCAGGCUGGUGGAAAAGCUCCAGCUGCCGGUGGAGCAGCUGAAGCCCACCGACCCGUUCCGGGGGGUGAACCCCGGGAUCGUGCGCCCGCUGGGAUGCAUCACGCUGUCGGUCACCUUCGGGUCCCGGGAAGUGUUCAGGACCGAACACAUAGUGUUCGACGUGGCGCAUACCCCGUUGCCCUACAAUGGGAUACUUGGUCGGCCAGCGCUGAUCAAGUUCAUGGCGGCCACGCAUUUUGCCUAUGGCGUGAUGAAGGUGCCGUCCGUCUAUGGAGUCCUCUCCAUCAGGUGCGACCUCAAGGAUGUGGCCUGGUGCGUUGGCGAAGUCGUCUGGGCCGCUGCCGCAGCUGACGCCGGCGACGAGGAUGCUGCCGGAGACGACGGCUUGCCGGGCGAUGCGCCGGCAACGAAGAAGGCCCGCGCUACCCCACAAGAGCUUGCUGGGGGAGGCGCAGGCUCGAGCUCGCGCCUCGGCAAGGGGCAGGGGCUCCAGGAGGAGGCCGCCAAGGUGAAGAAGCUGCCCCUCCAAGCUGGCGACAAGGAGCGCACCGUGACCGUCGGUGCGAACCUUACUGCCGAAUAGGAAAGCGCCCUCAUCACCUUCCUCCGGGAUAAUGCCGACGUGUUCGCUUGGAACCGUCGGAUCUUCCCGGAGUCCCCAGGGAGGUGAUUGAGCAUCGGUUCGCAGUGCGCCCGGAUGCGCACCCCGUCAAGCAGAAGAUUCGGCGGCAAGCACAAGAGCGCAAAGAUUUCAUCAAGUAAGAGGUGGACAAGCUCAAGGCUGCUGGGGCAAUCAGGGAAGUUCUGUACCCCACUUGGCUGGCUAACCCUGUAGUAGUGCCUAAAGCAGGGAAUAAGCUUCGCAUGUGUGUAGAUUUUACGGAUCUUAAUCACGCAUGCCCCAAGGAUCCCUUCCCUGUACCCCGUAUCGAUCAAAUAGUUGAUUCUAUCGCUGGUUGUGACUUGUUGAGUUUUCUGGAUGCUUUCUUCGGCUACCAUCAAAUCAAGAUGGCGGUCGAGGAUGAGGAAAAGACAGCGUUUAUCACCCCGGUUGGCUGUUAUUGUUAUACAUGCAUGCCUUUUGGGUUGAAGAACGUGGGCUCCACAUUUCAGCGCGCCCUGCGCGAAUGUUUGGGGCCCCAGCUAGGCCGCAACGUGGAGGCCUACAUGGACGACAUCGUCAUCAAAUCGAAGCGUGGGGACUCGCUGAUUGAUGACCUGCGGGAGACAUUUGACAACCUCCGCAGGAUGAAGCUCAAGCUGAACCCCGAUAAGUGCACCUUUGGUGUCAACUCCGGGCAGCUUCUGGGCUUCUUUGUUUCGCAUAGGGGGAUACAGGCCAACCCGACCAAGAUAGAAGCCAUCGAGAAGAUGGAGGCCCCCCGCAAGGUGAAGGAUGUCCAGCGCCUCAACGGCUGUGUUGCCGCGCUGGGACGUUUCAUCUCCAGGCUGGGCGAGCGUGCCCUGCCUUUCUUCAGGGUGAUGAAGAAGAAGGGUCCAGUCGAUUGGACUUCUGAGGACGAGGCGGCGUUCCGGGAACUCAAGCAGUACCUGAGGUCGCCGCCUGUCCUCGUUGCCCGCAAGCCGGGCGAGCCGCUGCUACUCUACCUAGCAGCGACUGACCAGGUGGUCAGCUCGGUGCUGGUUGCCGAGAGGGAGGAAGACGUCCCGGGUACCACCCCCGAGUCGGCGACCUCGGCACCGCGGAAGCGGUUGGUGCAGCACCCGGUGUACUUUGUUAGUACGGUGCUGCGCGACACGCGGACGAGGUACCCGCAAGUACAUAAGCUCCUUCUGGGGAUUCUCCUUUCGUCCCGCAAGCUGCGCCACUACUUUCAGGCGCACCGCGUCACGGUGGUGUCCGGGUUCUGCCUUGAGCGGGCCCUCACCAACCGUGAAGCCACCGGGAGAUUGGCCGAAUGGAGGAUGGAGUUGUCGGAGUUCGACCUCCAUUUCGCCAACUCUAAAAGCAUUAAGAGCACGGCCUUGGCGGACUUCGUCGCGGAAUGGACGUCCACGGGCGUAGAAGAAAGUGAACCAGAGACCAGCCUGCCCGGCAAGCUGGACGAGGACCACUGGGUCCUCUACUUCGACAGUGUGUUCAGUCUCCAAGGAGCAGGCGCUGGAGUUGUCAUCGAGUCACCGACAGGGGACCAGUUGAGGUUCAUUGUCCAACUCGACUUCUCGAACUCCACCAACAACACGGCGGAGUACGAGGGCUUGCUUGCCGGGUUGCGGGCAUCGGUCGCCCUCGACAUUAAGCGCCUAGUUGUUCGCGGCGAUUCCCAGCUCGUGAUCAACCAGGUGAACAAGGACUACGACUGCCCUCAAAUGGCGCCGUACGUGGAGGAGGUCCGCAAGCUAGAACGAAAGUUCAAAGGCCUGCGCUUCGAGCACGUCAAGCGGAAGGAUAACUUCGCUGCCGACGAGCUGGCCAAGAUGGCAGAAGAGCGCCAGAAGCCUCCGGCGGGGGUGUUCUGUCAGAAGCAAGCGGCUCCUUCAGUCGCCCCCCAGCCGGCUGCCGAGGACGCCCCUCCGGCAACCGAAGGAACCCCUAUAGUAGCGGGGGUCCAUGCCGCUGACAUAGCGGCAUGCGUUGGCAGGGAGAUUCCCCCAUGGGCGGAAGAAAUCGCCCGCUACUUGAAAGGGGAAGCUCUCCCAGAAGAUGACGUCGCCGCGGAGCGAGUAGCGCGGCAAGCCAAGAUGUACACUGUGAUGGAUGGGAACCUCUACCGCAGGCGUGCGAACGGUGUCAAGCUUAUCUGCGUGCCGCAGGAUGAAGGGCGCGCACUGUUGGAGGACAUACACCGGGGCACAUGUUCACACCAUGUGGCCUCCCGGGCUUUAGCCGACAAGGCAUUUCGGCAUGGCUUCUACUGGCCCAUGGCCCUGGCUGACGCGGAGCGGCUGGUGAGGACGUGCGAAGCGUGCCAGUUCCAUUCGAUAAAGAGCAACCAGCCAGCGCAAGCCCUACAUGUCAUCCCGUCCUCAUGGUCGUUCACGGUCUGUGAAGCGACCGCCCCCAUACAAGGGUUCGAUCUCUGUGCUUUAGUGCUAGUCCCUGGAUCGACUCACUAGCACACACAGUUUCAAGAUGUAAUAUCGUAGAACAAAGGUCUCAAUAUUACAACGAAUCAUCCAGAAUUUAAAGGUACUUACAACUCGCAUAACCUCACGGGUUAGCUGGAAAUAAAACAACUGUUUAGCAGCGGAAAACGGAAGAUACAAGCGCACAUUAACACCACGGUGAGAGCGUGUUGGAAUGUAAGCCCGUAACCCAAACAUGCAGAACGUACAUCUUACUCGUCGUCGGAGCUUCCUGCAUCAUUAAACGAUGCAGCCACUAGGGUCAAUACAUUGAAUGUAUUGGCAAGAUUCACUAGGAGUUAUACCAGAACCUACCAAGUAUAUGCAGUAUUUGGCAAGGUGGAGUUCAGGCUGUUUGCGUGGAAGCAGAACAUAAAUUACCCUACUACAAGGAAUGUUAUAAUAAUGUUAACUAAUGGACACGGGGUAGACACACCCAUGCUCCUAUUAACCUAGAGUACAUUGAAGUGGAUUCUUCAAGUGCUCCUACCCUGUUCAAACCAUUCAUUUUAUUUAAGAAAUUGGAAUGAGUGAGACUUUCCUUACAGCCCCAAUAUCUAGUUGCUCAUGAUUGUCCGUAACCGGGGACACGGCUAAGUACUUAGUUUGACACUCUGCAGAGGUUGUACACUUUACCCACAAGAAAUCGACGUGUUAAUCCCUUGCUGUCCUCAGGGUAGAGUAGCAACGGCAUCGAUUACAGGAAUUUUCAGACCAUAAUCACCUAGACCACCUGAGGGACCUAUGUUCCCACCUACACGGCUACAUUUGCACAAUCCCUCGGAUCCAGGAUCAUAUGUCUUACAUCCAUCCUGGCAGAGCACAUAUUACCAUGUGGUUGUACUGGAAGCUACUAAACAGGAAACUAGUCCAGUCUCUGUUACCCCAGGUGGCAUUCCACAUUUGCAACGUAGGCGCUUCCCGAAUCCACGGGAGAGACGUCCAUGGACGAUCCAUUCCUGAAUCCACAGGAACUCGACUCAGAGGGACCCAUAGAAAUGGACCUGACGCCGCUAAUCCUCAAAAUCCUCAAAGCAGCCCACCCAGGAUGGUUCAUUGAAUUAAUUGUUUUGCCUUACAUCUAACAAAAACAUUUCAUAUCGCCAAAGGCAUAACAAUAGCAUAAUGUAGUUAUUUCCCCCACGAUACUACCAUAGCGUAGCAUUCAACUACAAACGAUAGCAAUUUGGUGGCAAGGUAAUGGCAAGGGUAAACUAUACUGCCUGGGAUUUAUAGCUAGCAUAGAGGUACGAGUAAUAGUCCUAUCAAUGCAUCUCUACCAACAACACUAAUGCAUAAGCAUUUUAAAACAAUAAUAAUAAUGGGAUAUGAUCAAAGUGAACUUGCCUUGUCCAAAGUUGUGGUAAUUCUCGCACUCUUCGCAACAACAAGGAAUACACUCCACACAAUCUAAAAUAAAAGAAACACACACAAUAAACACAACAUUCAAUACAAAAACCAUGCCAUGAUGAUGCACACAAAGGUUACUUCUAAAAUUGUAACAUCCCAAAAUUUCAAACUUUUACAUGUGCAUUGCAUCCAUGAGCAUCAUGCCACAAUUGCAUGUUUGAAUUCAAAGUUUGAAUCACAAAAGGCUUUAAGAGAUUUUGUUUACACCCCUGUAACCUUUGGAUUUUCAAACCAAUAGGGUUGAUGUAUAAAAAGGGUUUAAUGCAUAUAUAAGCUAUCCCAUAAUUUUUGGUUAAUUAUUUGGAGUUGAAAAAGUAUUUUAUUCAAACAGAUAUAUAGCCCUAAAGGCAUUUAUAGGGCAAAUGUAUUUUUAUAUAUUUUACUUUGAGGGGAAUCUACUCCCAAAAGUUGUAUCAUGGUAGGACACGAUUUUACAAAUUUUCUGGAAUUUAUUUGGACCAAUUUGGAGUUCAAACUCAAAAGAUAUCAAAGAAAUGGGAAAAGCAGAAAAAAAGAGGGCUAAAAGAAAAAAAAAUAGAAAACCGGACCGGCUCGGCCAAAAUGGGCCGAACCGGCCCAGUCUGACCGCGCCCGACCGGCCCAGCCAGCCCGGCCGCCCGCGCGCGCGCGGAGACGCUGACAGUUGGGGCCCACCUGUCAAGCUCGUCGUCUCCGUUUGGAAGGCGCUCGAGCCGCCUGCGCCGGACUACCCGCGCCGCCGCAAUCACCGGAAUCCGGAGAUUCCGGCCUUCCCGAAACCCACCGGCUGCGUCACUUUAAAGCCCGAGCACCCCGCUUCUUUUCCCCCCCCGUUUGCCGUUGCUAUCACGCCGCCAGGCCGCCGGAAUUGCUCGCCGUUGGAGCUUCGGACGCCGCCGCAUCUUCGCUCGCCAACGCCGUCUCGGUGAGCCAUCCUUGUCGCCGCUCGCGCCUUCGUCUUCCUCUCUCUCUCGUGCACCCCAUGACACGCGCUCUUUUCGCUUUCGUGCCCUGCAGCUCGCCGACGACCGAGCCUGAAGCUCCGCAGCCGUCCGUCGCCCGCCGCCACGGCCACGUCGUCCUAGGCAAGCCCUCCGACCGCCCCGCGCUGCGCCGACCGCGCCAUCAACCUCAAGGCAUUGGAUCAGCAGAUCACCCAAAUAAAAUAAACCAAAUUCAUGUCACAUGUUUUGCAUUGCAUCAUGACAUAGAUAUUCUUUUGCUUGUAUGGUGUGUUUAUGUAUGUGUAUGUUUGCCUGAUUGUAUAGUUUUCUCGGAGAGCGAACUGUGUGACUGUGAAGAGUGUCUGAAUACCAAUUACUAUCAAGGCAAGUUCACUUUGAUCAUUAUCCCAUUAUUUUAUUAUGCACUAGAUUUUUAUUAGUUGCAUUGUUAGGAUUAUUAUUGUAUCUAUGCUAGCUAUGAUCUCUCCUAAUAGUGUAGGACACCUUUGCCAUUUUUCUCACCACCAAUUGCCAUCGUAGUAGUAAAAUGCUAUGCUAUGAUAAUAAACGAGGGCAGUAUUACUACAAUGUGUUACUAUUGAAUUACAAAUAUAGUUUUCCUGGUGUAUGGCAAAACAAGUAAUUCAAUGAACCGUCCUGGGUGGGCUGCUUUGAGUUUUCGGAUGUCGUGACGUUAGGUCCAUGUCUAUGGGGCCCGUUGAGUCGUCUCUCCGUGUGAUUCAGGAGCGUCCAUGGUCGUCUCCCCGUGCGAUUCGGGGAGCGCCUGCGUCACAAUGUGGGAUGCCACCCGGGGUAACCAGAUACUGGACUAGUUUCCUGUUUAGUAGCUUCCAGUACAACCACAUGGUAUUAUGGGCUCUGCCAGGAUGGAUGUAAGAAAUAUGAACCUGGAUCCGAGGUGACAUUGGUAUGUAGCAGUGUAGGUUGGAACGCGUCCCUCAGGUGGUUUGGGGAAAUAUGUUCUGAAAAUUCCUGUAAUCGAUGCCGUUGCUACUCUACCCUGAGGACAGCAAGGGAUUAACACGUCGAUUUCUUGUGGGUAAAGUGUACCACCUCUCGAGAGUGUCAAACUAAGUACUUAGCCGUGUCCCCGGUUACGGACAUUUAUGAGCAACUAGAUAUUGGAGCUGUAAGGAAAGUCUCACUCAUUCCAAUUUUCCUAAUAAAACGAAUGAAUUGAACUGGGUAGGAGCAUUGAUGUUUCUACUCAAUGUGCCUAGGUUAAUAGGAGCAUGGGUGUUUCUACCCCGUGUCCAAUAGAAUUCAAAACUAUUUGUCUAAAAAAAAUGAUAGGUUUUGAAUAAUGAUGCUUUUAUGCAAAAUGGCCAAACCCCACUUAGCCAAACUAUACAUGUACUUGGUAGGUCCUUUAUAACUCUAGUGAGCUUGCCAAUACAUUCAAAUGUAUUGACCACGUAGUGGCUGCAAUUAAUAAUGCAGGUGAAACUGACGAAGAGUGAGGUUCGUCGAUAUUUCUCUGGGUCAUGUGUUUACAUUCCAACAUGCUCUCUCCUCUGGGAGUAGAUGAGGCCCUUUUUCUCUACUUUUCCGCUGCAGCUUCGUGAUACUUUGUUAUCAUGAUUUUGAACAUUAUUUGUUUAUGCUGGCCUAGGAGGUCAUGCAAGUUUGUAAGUACAAUUUAAGUUCUGGAUGAUACGAUGUAAUAAAGUACUUUUGACCUUUGUAUCUUGGUAUUACAUCUUGAACUGUGUGUGCUAGUGAGUCGAUCCAGGGACUAGCACAAGUAAGCACAGAGAUCGAACCCUUGGUGAAGGGGGAUCGCUUCAGAUGGUAUCAGAGCAAUGUGUUGCCUGUAGGAACGUGACCCUACUUUGGAUUAGGAUAAGACAAGACCAAAGACCAAACCUUAGGAUUAAUUCUCAUCCCUAUCUGAUCUAUAUCGAUAUACAUACAUUUUAUUCCUUAUCCCUAUUCAUCUAAAUCUUUGCAUUUAUAUCUUACAUAUGCAUGACAUGUUUAUUGUUUUAUUCCACAUAUACACCGAAUACUAUGUUUAUUACCACAUAUGCAUACUUAAUAUAUUAUACCACAGAUGCAUAUUCGAUUUUUACACCAUACACCACUAUAAUCAUGUAGCCUUGUUAUUCACAUAGUAUUAUGCAUCCAAUUUUAUAUUUACAUUUCCAUCCUUGAUAUUAAUGUUUAUCACUUGAUACCCACUCUACCACAUUUAUUUUAUUUUUACUUACAUUCGACCAUUUGAUCAUGUCAUUGAUACUCCCUUAGCUCCUUCUUUAUUUUCUAUAGAUGGGAAGCCCAACACCGUUCGGCAAUGUACCGCCGUUCACCCGUGUCUACUACCCUUCCACGGAUGACGACCAGUUGUUCAGUGCCCCUUUGGCGGCACUGUGUGCUUUCCUCGACCUGCCACCACCCAGGUUCAGAGGCCGAGUCGAGACCGCCGCACCCGAGGGAUGGCAGCCACGGUGGGAGAUCGAGGCGAAGAUCCGGGGGCGUGAGAUCACGCCAGCUACACCGGAUAUCACCUUCAUCAGCCGCUACCCCACAUUCGAGCAGGGCCUUCAGUUUGCCAUGCAGUGCGCCUUCGCAUAGGUGUGCCGGGACUAUCGGCACGAGUUCCCCGAGGACUCCCCCUUCCUCCUCUUUGGAAGGCGGAACCAUGCAUGCUCGGCAGUGGCUACGACCAACGACGAGGAUGCCACCCCAGUGACGACCCACUUUGAGAACAUGGAAAUCAACACCGUGGACUUGGAGUCUUCUCUUGAGCACGAAAUCCCUUUUUACCACAAUACCCUCAUGGGUUAAAAUGCAAAUACUCAAAAGCAAGAUCAACGACCAAAAUCAAAUAAAGGCGUUUGAGCAAAAGGGUUUUCUUUUCUGGGCAAAAUCUUGGGUUUUGAAAGUGAUCGAAUGCAAGGGUGACAUGAUGCUCAUGAUAUGCAAUGCAUAUGAAGGGUUUUGGAAAUUGGGAUGUUACAGUCUGGGGCUCGACAUCGUCGGCAAGCUACCCAGGGCGGUUGGCGGUUACGAAUAUUUGUUCGUGGCCAUCGACAAGUUCUCCAAGUGGGUGGAGGUGGAACCAGUGCGGAAGGUGACCACUGCCCAGGCGGCCAUCAUGUUCUGCAGAGGCAUCGUGUGCCGGUUUGGUGUGCCUAACAGCAUCAUCACCGACAACGGCACGCAGUUCACGAGCGCGGCGUUUCAAGCCUAUUGCGAAGACAUGGGCACUAAGCCACGCUUCGCGUCCGUUGCUCACCCGAGGAGUAACAGACAGGCGGAGCGAGCCAACGCAGAGGUGCUGCGAGGGCUCAAGACGAGAACCUUUGACAAGCUCAAAGGCCACGGAAACACUGGGUCGAAGAACUCCAGCCCGUGCUGUGGUCCAUCCGGACCACACCUAGUCGGGCAACGAGUGAAACUUCUUUCGCCCUUGUCUACGGGGCAGAAGCGGUGCUGCCCCUCGAGGUCAAGCACGGAUCUCCUGGGUACGCGCGUACGGCGACACCAGCCAACACGAGCAAAGGGUUGACGAUCUAAACUUCAUCGAAGAGCUUCGAUGCCGGGCUGCUGUGCGAGCCGCGCGCUACCAACAGGGACUCCGUCGUUAUCACGACAGGCGAGUCCGUCCCCGAGGGCUCAAGAACGGAGACCUUGUCCUGCGCUGGAUACAAGGAACGAAGGCCGGGAACAAGUUGACUCCGAAAUGGGAGGGCCACUUCCGGGUAGUGCAGGUGACCAGGCCGGGGGUUGUCCGGCUGGAAACCGAAGACGGCUUGCCGGUGCCCAAUAGUUGGAAUAUUGAGCACUUGCGCAAGUUCUACCCGUGAAGCGGCGGAGCCCAACCCUCAGGUGAUGCCGCCGAUGCAUACCUCUCGAACUAGUGUAGCCGGGCAGCCCCCGUGUGUAAACCACUAGUUAUUGUGAAUAAAGAUAAGUGUUUCGCCCUUGAGCUUUGCAUCUGCCUUGUUUAUCCGCAUGUUCCUCUCUCUUCUGUCUCCUGCUUUAAGUGCACAAAGAUGUCUUUCCAUACUUGGUUGUGAGCAGGGGGCUGUUGGAGCCUCGAAAAACAUAAACCCGUCGUCGGAUUGUUCCGGCAUGGGGCAUGCAGUUGCCGGGCCUCCCGCAACGUGCAUCACUGGACAUGCAGUUGUUGGGCCUCCCGCAUUGUGCAUUGCUGGACAUGCGGUUGUCGGGCUCCCCGCAACGCACAUCCCUGGACGGGCAGUUGCCGGCCUCCCCGUAACGUGCACCGCGCAGUCACUGUGCCUGGGAAAUGAAAUGCUCACAUCCAAGUUUGGCAUUGACCCCUUUGCGCCCGGGGGCUGGGAGGCAGGAGGAGUUUGUCUGUGUUGCUUCGUGUAUUGUCGUGAAUUUCGAUUUUUUUUUGCAGCACCUCGGGCCUGGUAAGAAUCUAACCUGCAGGAAAGGGUGGAAUCUUGUGCACUGUGAUGCCUGUGGGCUGCCCACGGGUCGCACCAUGCACCAGUGCCUUGUGGUGCGGGAUGACCGCAACAAGAGGCUCACCGCACUCCGAGGCUUCUGACUCGGGAGGGCGCCGCCACGUGUACCACAGUUUCCUGGUAUGCAUGACGGCGGAGACUGUACGACGUUUCGAGGGAGGGGUGCCACGAGUGCUGUGCGGGUCCGUCGCGCGCGGUGGCAAACCCCCCUCCUGCGCCUAUAAAAGGCGCGCCCCAGCCACGGAACGGCUCAGAGCGAAGCCGGGCGAGGGGCCGUUAAGGCGGGUAGUGCCAUGGAGGCGCGAUGGUGGUGCAUCCCAUCGGCGCUUAGCGCCGACGGGUGCGUUGCCAUCGCGCCCCUGCCGCAUCACCCCAUCGAGCCCGCCCCGAUGGGCGUCGCAGAGGCACGGUGGUAGUGCAUGCCAUCGGCGUUCUGCACCGUCGGGUGCACUGCCGCCGUGCUCCUGCCGCGCCUCCUCAAGCGGAUGGCUCCUGGGCGAGGGUCGCCGCGGAGGCACUGUGGUGGUGCAUCCCAUCAGCGUUCGGCCUGACGGGGUGCAUUGCCGCAGUGCCCUUGCCGCACAGCGCAAGGAGCAAGGGCUGCCGCGGAGACUCUAUGGUAGUGCAUGCCAUCCGUGCCUUGUGCCAACGGGUGCACUAUCAUAGAGACCCGGCCGCAUUCCCCUCGAGCAGUUAUGCUCCCGGGCAACAAGGGUUGUUACACCCCUUGGGACGAGCUCCCCAGAAAAAACCAGGUCUCCCCGGUUGCGGGGCUGUCGCCGGGAGGCUAUAACUUCCUCGCCACCCGUGCCCGCCGCUCGGGGUGGGGCGCAGCUGGCGGCGAGGACGUUAUAGCCGUCUUGCGGCUGCUCCCGGGGCGGAGUCCUCCUAAGCCAGCGUUCCCCCCUGAAGGCGAGGGUUGCCGCAUGAGCGUGGUGGUAGCAUCGUCGGCGGCGGUUGCCGCUGGCGGCGAUCCUGCCCCCGCGCUCCUGCCGCAUCCUUCAGAAACAGUUUUCCUUGAACAGGCACCCGAGGUGGAUUCUUACCAACGCAGUGUUCCAGGUGCUCUUUUCCGCUAAGCGUCACGAGGCAUUGGACUGAACGGAAAAGCUAAGUGUCUGAACAUGAACACUGAAUUCGCUAAGAACUGAAAGAAAUGUAGCGCUGUCUCGUUGGGUGUGGCCCCAGAUCUUGCGCGUAGCCGGAAUGUUAAAAGGACGCCUGCGGGGGGCGUGCGCUCCCCGUGUGGCUUCGUGGGUCCGUCCCGGAAGGGCACGUCUUGGAGUAGUUAUCCCGCAAGUGGAGUGGCUCCCCGCUACCGCUUGGACCCAGGUCGGCACCGCGGGUCCAUCCCGGGUCCCUGGUCUGGUCAAGGGUGAGGCGUGCGAGUCCCCCGCAACACAAGGCAAAACACGCAAAGGCUAAAAGGGCCACCCCGCUAGACAGCGCCGGGAACAAUGAACAUGUCGAAAAACUUAAUUGACUGAGAGUCGAACGAUUACAUGGGCUAAUUCGAAAUAUGAUUGUUCAAACGGCGCUAAGCGCCAUACUUGCAGGGAAAUCAAACAAAAGAAGAUACAUUGGGGAGCAACAAGCGCGGCUGGGGGCUGCGGCAACUAGUUGCCGCCGUCUUCGGCCGGGGGGUCGGCGAGGAGAUCGGGCUCCGGCUUCAUCUGCAUCCGCUCGACGACCUCGUCGGCGAACUCACGCACUGCUUGGGUGUGGGUGGGCUCGUCCUCGCUGUCGGACCAAGCGUCCAGCAGGGACUCGAAGGGAAACUCCGGGUCUCGGAGAUGAAUCUGCGGGAGAAUUGUCCCGGCAACCUCCCGGGCGCAGUUGGCGACUUCCUUGGCGCCGUACCGGGCGAUCCAGACGUCGAGCGCCCAAGCUUUCCCACCAGGUCGGAGAAGAAGGGGAUCAGCGUCGUGACAUCUGUCCCGUCCACUUCCGCCGCCUGCAGGUCAAACUUGGGCAGCAGGUCGCACAGCGACUGGGCGAUCUUCAGCAGCUUCUUCGUCUCGAUUUGCCGCUGCCCGAUCAGCGUGCCGUGAUGGAGUCGAACGUCAUGCGCGGCCUUCUUAGCCUUGCGGACGUUGCCUUCCAUCGCCAUGAGCUCCGCGGCCUUCGCCGCGGUCUUGUUGCCGGCCUUGGAAAGCUCCUCCCGGACGGCGGCCAGCUCGGUCUCAAGCCUGGCCGCUCUGUCCUUGGCGGAGUUGAGCUCGGUCUCUUGCCGGGUUGCUGCUCCCACCGCAUCUUCGGUGGCCUUGACUUGCACCUCCAGCAUGACACGAAGGCCUUGGAUUUUGCCGCGGUAGUUGGCAAUCAAAAUGCUUUUCUCGUCCAGCCGGGCCUGGGCCGCUGCGACCACCUCGGCAUGUUCCUUCCUGGUCGCCUCAAGGGUAGCCGACAUCGAGUCGAGCUUCCCUUGAAGCUCCAUGCGCUGGGCCUCCAGUUGCCGAUGGAGCUCGGCCUCCGGGACCAUCGGCUCCCGGGCGUCCUCCAGGGCUUGCCGGGCCAGCCGGGCCUCCUCUUCGGCGAGGCACGUCUCCUCGCGCAGCCCGGACGGCUCUCGCCGCUCUUUCUCUACGGCCUCCCACACCUCACCGAGUUGAUUCUGGGCGGCUCCCUCACCUUGUUGAAGGAGGUGACGAAGGCCAGUUGCUGGUCCCUAACGGCGUCUAGGAACCGGUGCCCCCGCUCGAAGAUGCUCGGAUCCCAGGUGAGGGGGUUUCAAGCGACCCUGGCGAGGGUGCCGAGGUCGGUACCGGGGAGAGCCGCCGAGGACGAUGAAGCCCCUGCUGCCGAUGUGGGGCGGGGCGCGGAGUCCGCAGCUGCGGGCACAUCGCCGGGCGCUGUCACGGCGGCGGCGGUGUCCACCGCUGCCACCGUCUCCACCCCAGCAGGGCUAGACGUGAGAGCCGGUUCUGGCUCCACCUCCGCCCCCACGACCUCGGCGACCGGGUCGAGGUCGACCACGGUCGUGCCCGUUCCAGGUGUGGGCGCACUUGUGCCUGCAACAAUGAGAAGUGUGAGGAUCGGCGAGUGAUGGACCUAUCAAAGACGGACAAGGGUGGCCAGGAUGGUUACCUUGCGCGGUUGUCGGGCUUGUCGGGGAAGCCUCCCCUGCCUCGCCUGUGCCGGCGAGAGCGUCCAAGAGGCUUGCCGUGGGCGUGCUGCCGUUCACUGCGAAAAAAGGUACAUUCAUGAGUUUGGCUAACAAAAAUUGCAGUUGCAGAGGAGUAACGAAGACGUACCGGCUGCCGGUCCUGCCUCCGUGGGGGCUGGGUCGUCAAGGGCGCGCCCGCGUCGCUGCCGACCCCUGCGGCGGUGGGUUCGGCGGCGCUGCUGGCAUCGGUGCGCGCCCUCUUGCUUGGUGUGCCGAGAGGGGAAUCGCUCCUCGCUCUCUUGCUGGCACCCGCCGGAGCGCGAAGCCCCGGAAGACCCCCCGAGCAGGUGGCGCUGUGGGCGCCCGCGGGGUCGUCAUGACCCGGAGAGCCCCGGGUGUCAACGGUGAUGCCGCCGCGGUGCCGAGAGCCGAACUUGUGGAGGCCCCCGCUACCGGGGCGAAGGCCGUUGCCGGGGCACCGGCGACUCAUGCAGGCGCAGGCAUUGCCGGAGUACCGGCGGACGCCACGGUGCUGGCGGCUGCCGCUGAGGCGAAGGACGCCGCCGAGACACCCGCGGCGCCUGUUGCCGCGGAUGCCGUCGAGGUGUCGACGGGCGCCCCUGAAGCAGCCGCCGCCGCAAGGUUGGUGGCCACUGCCGGGGCGGAUGGUGCCGUCGAGGAGAUGGCUGUAGCUGCUGUCCUCGAUCUCCUCACGAUCAGGGGCGCGCUGUCGUUGCUUUCGUCAUCGUCGUCCACGGCGACGACCUCCGGGGACGCAGCCGCCUGGCCCACUUCGUCGUCCAGCGACUGGAGGGAGGGCCAGCUGGGCUCGGGUCCACCCCUGCUCUCCUCGAGCACCUGCUUCUCGCGAGGUGCUAGCGGGGGAGCGUGCAGGACCCGGGUGGGGGUGUCGUCCAUCAACCCCCACUCGUUGCAGGGCGGGAAGGCACCGACGAUGUAGCUGAGCGCCUUGACGCCGGCGUGAAGAGAGGAAACCCCCGGCGGGAACUCCGUAGAUUGGAAGGUCUCGCCGGAGAUCCCCUUCACCCAUGUCCUGAGGGUCUCAAAGUCCACGCCGUCCUGCUGGAGGCGUCUCUUGUCCCCGGGACCCGUGUACAUCCAUGCGGGCCGAGAGCGUAGCUGCAGUGGGGCUAUGCGCCGAUGGACGAAGGUGUGUGCCACGUCUACAUCGGUGAGCCCCGCUAGCCACAGCGCCUUGAUCUUCUCCACGAUGGGAAAAGAGGUCGGCGUCACGGUGGUACCUGUCCUGCCAGCCAUUCUGGGGUUGCGGCAGCUCCGUCGGCGACUGGAUGAACUCCUGGGGGUUCUCCACUCGGACCCAGCACCAAUCGCUCCGCCACACUUUUUCGAUCUUCUUCCCCGACCAGACAAUGAACUCGGACUUCAUCUGGUUGCGGGCGCGGAAUACCACCCCCGAUGACAUCGCCUUCGCGUUGUCAAUGCGGGGGUAGAAGUAGUGGUGGAAGAGCCCCACCGACGGCAUCACCCCCACGAACGCCUCGCGGAGGAACUGGAAGGUGGCGAGGAGGAAUAGCGACGUGGGGUGGAGCUGCGCCACCCGCAACUGGUAGGACUCCAUCAGUGCGUGGAGGAAUAGGGAGAAGGGCGGCACCAGGUUGCAGAGGAGGAAGCACGCGAACACCCGGAAGUGGGGGGCGCCAUGGGGAACGAGGGCGAAAGCUAGCAGGAGCGUAGGGAUGCGAGAUGCGGAAGGGGAUGGAGACGAAGGCUAUGGGGGCAGGGUGUUGUUCCGUACCCUACGGGUGCGCGGGGAUAAUUCCUAAUCAUUAGGAGUAAUGCGCGGAGUGGCCUUAACUUCCCUAUUUAGGAGGGGAGUUAGGGCGGAAAUCCCGCGCCCACUACUCCGUUACAAACGGCGCCGUACACGGGGCAGCGAAGGGACGUGGGCCCGCGGCAGAUCGGGGCCCACACGUCGGUUAAGGGCGUAGCCCGGCAACCAACCAGGGGGAAGACUCUUUCGGGAACAGGUGAUGCCAGCCCACGCCCGGGGGCUACUGUCGCACCAGUGGCACCCAGGGUACCACCGCUGCGCGACGCGUGGGCCCCCAUUCUCGAGUUCUCGGGAAGGUUUCAUCCCGGGCAGCGUCUGAGGGGGUUCCCGGGCGCAUGCCCCCGCCUCAAGCGUGGGGCCCAGUAGCCAGAUCAACAGCGCCACGCGGGCGCGUGGCGGGCGUGGGAUGCGCGGCCCCACCGGGGCAAGGAGUAAGGCGCACGGCUCAUUAAAUGAGCCGACCGACGAGGCGUUACCCGUCCGAUCAAGGGAACAGUGGCUGUCCAAUCCUACGCUAGGGUUUUAGACCCCUAGCGGCGGAGGUGGCAUCCAUGCACGCCACCAGCUCACUGGGGGGAGUUGUAUGCCUCCCCGCUCGACACUUGUAGCUCAUGCACCGUGGUACCUGUGGCAUCCCCUUGAAUAUAAAAGGAGGACCCACGCCAACGGUCAGGGGGUUCGGAGGAAGUUCGUGUACUCUCAGUUAACUCCAGUAGACAGUAGGGUUCGGCCGAGUUCGAUUAGCCCACAGUUAGCCUCUAGCAUUAGCAGAGGAUAGUGAGGAGCAUCUAGCCAGAGAGAGAGAGCCCGGGAACUCACCCGGCAACUUGUAAACACUUGAUUCUAAAGCAAUACCAGAUCAGACAAGAAGGACGUAGGGUUUUACACCUCCGGGUGGCCCGAACCUAGGUAAAAACAUGCGUGUGCUUGUUCUUUGAUUAGCGCGCACUUUCAGUAUUUCAUUUCGCCGGCCCCGCAGGGCCUCAUCGGCCGUGCCGGCGAUCGCCGGGGCGAACCCCGACGCCCCUGCCGAACCUAAAAGGGGGCGGUGACCGCACGCCCCCGGUGUCGGAGCACCGUGCGACAACAACCAGUGGCGGUGCGAGCACACAUGCGGCUUUCACCGCCACUCGUGCUCCUAGUACCAGUGGCCGCUUCAGUUAACCGCCACUGGUGCUCCUCAGAGUUUCCCAUCCCGGUUACCAGUGGUAGGCAGAUUCUUUGAACCGCCACUAGUAAGUUAUGUAUAAAAGCAAAGUCACUGUGGCCUUAUCUUCCUCAGCUCGCGCGUCUCUGGACCAGCUGCGGCUCCUCAACACAGGCGACGGCGAAGCUCUACCAAAAUUCCAUGGCGCCGGCGGUCGGAAGGUUGCUCCCUUUCCCUCUCCUUUCCUCUAGCUCCUUCCUCUCUUCUCUUCUUCCUCGAUGUGGCAGAAAUGGCGUCGACGGCCGGGAGGAGCUCGAUCUCUCUCCAGGAGCUGUCCCGGGCGGCCCCCUUGCUCGGGAGGUCCCCCACUCUUCCCCUAGUCCCGUUUCUCCCUCUCUUUCUGCUGCUGGUUGCUGCGUGCCCCCUCCCCUCUGUCUCUCUGGUCCCCUCUCUCUCUCUGCUCCCCUCUCUCUCUGUGAUUAAUUAAGUUCUCUCUCAGUAAAUAUGUGUUGAAUGUGCAUGUUCCGCGGCCAUCGUGCCAUGUUUGUAAAUUAUUUUUUUGUACAUGUAUACGGGCCGUCAUGCCGUGUGUGUUCACAUGUGGGUGUGGGUGGGUGUUUAUUUGGCAAUUUUUUGUAAAAUUUGUAAAUUUUAUAGCAAAGGUCAUGCUGAAAUUUUGUGUGAUACUAUAUGUAACUUGAUUUAUGUUUGUUUAUCGUGUUUUAGCUCGAUGAGCCGUGCUUGGAUGUACAAGGAGACAAGAAAUUGCGAAAAUUGGAUAAGAAAACCGAAGGAGUUCACUGAUGUCGCCACGGAACAUAUGCUGAGAAAAGGGGACGACAUGACAUGUUGUCCAUGUACCAAUUGUGGUAACACAAUGAUGCUUUUGCCAAGCGAUGUGGAGUUGCACUUGCUCCUACACAGUUUUGUGUUGGGUUAUUCACGUUGGACUUGUCACGGCGAGGAUGCCAUUGAAGUUGAAAGCGACCCAGAAAUGGAGAACAUGGAGCAUGAUGAUCCACCUGAUGAACCAUGCCGUGGCGAAGAUGAAGAAGUUCCGCAAGGCAGGGUGGCCGAAAUGCUAGAUGAUGUGCACCUGCGAAAACAGUUAGAUGACGCAGACGAUGAGAUAGUGUCCCAUAAAUUCCAGAAGCCGAGGGAGGACGCAGAUGCGCUGUUGUAUGAAAAUGCAGGGCUGGACAAAAGUGUGCUGGAAGUAACGCUCGAACUUCUCCGAAUGAAGGCAAAAUGUAACAUCGUGGACUCGGGAUUCACGGAUAUUUUGAUUUACCUUUCUACAGUUCUUCCUACCGGCAACAUGUUGCCUAAGAGCACGUACGAAGCGAAGAAGGUUGCAUGUCCCCUCGGGUUAGAGGUUGUCAGAUACCAUGCUUGUCCGUUGGACUGCAUCAUAUACAAGGGUGACUACAAAGACAAGCACAGCUGUCCAGUAUGCAAAACAUCCUGAUACAGGAAGAAAGACCCCAAUCCUGAGGGCCUCCCGGAGGAAGAAGUGACUCGUGGUCCAGCAGAGAAGACGAUAUGGUACCUCCCGUGUGGUAGCUGGUUGGAGCGUUGGUUUCAAAACGAGAAGGAGGCCAGGUGGUUCAUCUUCCACGACCCGACUCAGAAAGAUAUCGAUCCUGAUGGGGUGUAUCGUAACAACGAUGGUGUACUUAGACACCUCGCUGAUGCGGCUCAAUGGAGGACCCUGGAUGAGGAGUUUCCAGACUUCGGUGCAGAGCCCAGGAACAUUAGGUUUGGGAUGAGUAUGGACGGAAUCAAUCCGUUCGGAAACAUGAACAGCAAACACAGCACAUGGCCGGUGAUCCUGUUCAUAUACAACCUUCCUCCGUGGCUUAUCAUGAAGAGGAAGUACAUCCACCUAUCCAUGCUCAUACAAGGCCCUAAGCAACCGGGAGCUGAUCUGAACGUGUAUCUGGAGCUACUGAAAGGUGAACUUGCGAAACUUUGGAGUACGGGGCGAAAAGUAUCUGGACGAGUAUCUGGACGCUCACAAGAAGGAGGAGUUCACCCUUCGAGCAGCUCUGCAGACAUGUGUGCAUGACUACCCUGUGAACAGGAACUCUUUUUGCCAACUCACACAUGGGUACAAAGCGUGUACAAAGUGCAGGGAUGAAACGAACUCACCGAGGCUGCCAGUUUCAUAGAAGAUUGUGUACAUGGGACACCGGAAGUGGUUGCAACCCGAUGAUGACCCAUGGAGGAAGGACAAGAAAAACUUCAAUGGGAGGUCAGAGCCUCGCCCGAAGCCCAGGGAAAAGACUGGGCACGAAAUCUAUGAUAUUGUUAGGAACUUGGAAAUUGUUGCCAGAAAAGCAAAUCCGCAAGCGAAAGAGAAGGAUGGCGAUGGACCUGUGUGGAAAAGGAGGUCAGUGUUUUGGGACCUGCCUUACUGGAAAUUCUUACAAAGCCAUCACACCAUACAUGUCAUGCACAUCGAGAAGAACGUGUGCGACAGCCUUUUGGGCUUGCUAAUGAACAAUGCAGAUAAGACCAAAGAUGGGCCAAAGGCAUGGAAGGACCUAGAGUUCUUGGGCAUAAGAAAGAAGCUGUGGGCGGUAGAGGAAGAGUCACCGGAAGACCACAAUGGUGAAGUCACGGUAACGACACGAUGUAAACCUGCGUGUUACACCUUGAGCAAAGCCGAGUUACACAGAAUGUGCCAGUGUCUCCACAGCAUUAAAAUUCCAUCCAACUACUCGUCCAGCAUCAAGAGACUCGUUGACAUGAAGAGUCACAAGCUUGUUGGUAUGAAGUCUCAUGACUGCCACGUGAUUAUUACGCAGUUACUUCCAGUUGCAAUAAGAGGUGCCAUGGAGCCAUGGGUCAGAGAGACGGUGAUGAAGCUUUGUGACUUCUUUGACACAAUCGGGCAAAACUCCAUCACGGUGGAACGCUGCAUCCAGCUGAAGGAUUCAAUGAUACAAAUUUUGUGUGAAUGUGAGAUGUUCUUCCCUCCAACAUUCUUCGAUAUCAUGGUACAUCUGAUGGUCCACAUCACCGACGAGAUAAUCCUACUAGGGCACUCCUUUCUGCACAACAUGUAUGGGCCCGAACGAUACAACGGGGUGCUGAAGCGGUAUGUUCGUAACAGAGGGCAUCCGGAAGGUAGCAUCAUGCAAGGCUACCAUGCAGAAGAGUGUGUGGAGUAUGCCACUGAUUGGUUGGCGGAUCGCAAACCCAUAGGAGUACGCGAAUCACGACAUAAGGGCAAACUAGAAGGUGAAGGUGGGCUUGGCCAGAAGGUUCUGGAUGUGUAUUCAUCGGGGAGAGAGGACGACUAUAUGAGAGCACAUACAAUGGUGCUGCAACAUAUGUACGAGGUCCAGCCUUUCAUCGACAUGCAUAUGGAAGAACUUGAAAACAUGUACCCUAACAGGAGUGCUGAUUGGAUACACAAGACCCACAAUGCAACAUUCGCCAUGUGGCUCGAGAGUUUUUGGUAUGCCAGGGUGGCGGCAAAUGAAGAAGAAAUGACCGCUCAAAAGUUCUCGCGGCUACCCGACGGCUGCGUAGUGAGUUACCAGUCGUACGCAAUGAACGGGUAUACGUACUACACCAAGGAUCAAGAUCGUAAGAGCAGUUACAAAAAUAGCGGUAUAGUGCUGGUUGCUGAGACUAGUUUUGAUAACCAAGGUACUACAGAAGCGUACUAUGGCGUGAUCGAAAAGAUCUGAGAGCUUGACUACACCUUCACCACCAUCCCCAUGUUCCGUGUUAGAUGGGCACGUGAUGUCAGACAAGAAGAUCAUAGAUUCACAACAAUGACCCUGCCUCGUGAGGUUCCUCAUCAUAAAGUGGACGUGAAGAAAAUUCCUGCAAGAUGGGAACCAUGGCAGUUUGCUUCAAAAUGCAAACAAGUUUUCUUCAUCGACGACCCGACAAGCAAGAACCGUGUUGUCGUAAGGAGAGGGAAAAGAAGCAUAAUUGGCGUCGACGGAGUUACUUCACAACAAGACUAUGAAGGUUUUCCUGAUCCAACGUCAAAGCAAGAAGAAGAAGAAGCAUCAUGGACAAUCCAGACAAGGAAGAAGUCAAGACCUGAGGCAAGAGAGGAGGCAUACGUUAGAAGUGGCCAUAGCGAGACCCUAACAUAUAAGAGGAAGGAGAAGACCAGAAAGAAGAAGAAGGACAAGAUUGUGGAAUAGUUGAAUAUUUGUGUAUCUUUUCGUAGUUGAUGUUUAACGAUGCUUUUGAAUGGAAAAUUGUAACUUGUAGUAUGUCAAAUUUGAAAUCAAAAGUCUUAAAUAUGUUCUGAAUUUGAAAUAACUUGUUCAAAUUUGAAAUCAAAAAUAUGUUCUGAAUUUGAAAUAACUUGUUCAAAUUUGAUAGCAAAAUGUCUUAAAUAACUUGUUCAAAUUUCAAAUCAAAUGUCUUAAAUAACUUGUUCAAAUUUCAAAUAAAAUGUCUUAAAUAUGUUAUGAAUUUGAAAUAAAAUUUUCAAAUUAUAAAUCAAAUGCCAUAAAUAUUUUCUGAACUUCAAAAUAACUUGAUCAAAUUUCAUGGAAAAAAAUUAGCCCACCUACUCAACACGGCUUUUCGGGUUCGGGCCAAGCCCGAUAAACCAGUGAGCUGCCUACUACCUACUAAUGCCGGUUUGACCGGGCCCAUAGGACUUUGACCGACCCCACCAAGUACAAUCGGACUGACACCGGGCCCACAGGCCAGGAACAGAGUAGAACCGGGCCCAAGAGCACAACCGGGCCCACAGGCCAGGAUCAGAGCAGAGUACUAUGGGAAAUUGAAUCGGAAGUGAUGACCGAGUUGGAGAUUCCUAUUUAUGCUAGUCGAAACGGCUGUAAACAAGCAAGGUGGGACUAAACUCCCAACUCGCUUUGCAGAAGCUCGCGCUGAGGAGCACUAGUGGCGGUGAAAACGGAAGAACCGCCACUGGUGUGGAGCACUGGUGGCGGUGAAGGCGGUGCGGGCAACUAAAACAGCCACUGCUAUGAUUUUUCUUUUCUCGCCUAUUUUUCUGUCAUUUUUCUUUUUGCAAUUUUUUUUCUUUUUAUUUCAAUAAUAGGAAGUUUGAGAGAGAAUUUUGGUAUAAAUUCGUAAGCCGCUGAUACAUUUUAACCACUAGUGGCGGUGAGUGCACGGCAAACCGCCACCGCUAUUGAGCACUAGUGGCGGUGCUGGCAGCUAGACCCGCCACUGGUAUUAUUCGCAGGAUCAUUGGAGACCCUAAGUUUGUGUACCACCUAUCAGUGGCGGUUCUCACGGCAAAAACCGCCACUGGUGAUGAAUUUCCAAUAAGCUAUUAAAUUUGUUGUAGUAAAAUAAAACCGUUAUAUGGACAGGGCCGUAAAUCCUACGUGGCAGCGACCAAGUCAACAUUUCACAAGCACGAGUCAAGACGCCCACGUGGUGUGGCGCAGUCAAUCCUACAUGGCGAAGGGAGAUAAGUCAACAAGUCAAGCCUCUCAUGUCAUGGUCAAAGGGUCAAAUGAGCUAGAGUAGGGGGCAAGAAAGGUGUGAGGAGGGGGCCCUUAGUCCAUGGUGGACCAUGGACCAAGCCCCACUUUUCUCACAUGGUGCACACAAAAGCUAUGCACCAAAGGAGCUACUUUUAACAUUUUGCCCCACUUUUCUCUCUUCCUCAAGGGUAGUCAUGGUCUUUUGUCAUGGACCCCAAGGCUAUAAAUACCCCCCAAUGGGGGCAUGUACCAUUCACUCUCACUUGAAUAAACUCAAGGGGAGAGGGCUAGAGUGCUCCCUCUAAGGUUCGCUCUCGCGCGCCGCUCUCGACUGAAAGUCGAUCGGCCUCGAGGAAGCCUUCUAGGGGACUCUAGUUUCGAGGCUCCGAGCUGGCCUUGGUUGGCUCGGCUUCGAAGGAGAAGGGGUUGGGUUAGAGUUCCGACGGUAUCCUAACCUCGAUACUUGGAAAGACGCGUUCGGUCCAAGUACGAGGCGGCCCCGAUGAACCUCUUGCUAAAAGGUGUCUUGGGAAGAUCCGUUCGGCUCAAGCCCUUGGCGUACACACCAUACUUUUAAGUCAAACCUACAUAGGAUUAAGUCGCACCUGCAGGGUCGACCGAACCUAUUAAAAAAAUAUCGACGUGUCAACUUGUCCAAGUGUACGGCGACCUUCUCUAUAAGGCCGGCGUACACACCAUACUUUUAUACCCGCACUUGUGCCAUCAAGCAUUGGCACCCCUUACUCUUAUUGUUGUCGAAAACAACAAAAUUCAUAUUAUAUUCUCUGGGUUUUAAAUAAAUACACCACCUCUUAUUUUAUGUCUAUAAUAAGAUUCUUUAUCCUCAGUAAACUUUUGAACCAUAUAUUCAAAUGUUAUAUACCCUAAUUUCUAUGAUUAAGUGUCAUUAUGUGUGGCUUUUGUGCUAUAAAAAUUCUAUAAAAUUCAAUUUUUCUCAAAAAAUUGUCACAUUGGGUGUGGACACUUCCCUAUUGCUAUAGAACACCCAUAAAAAAAAUUCAAGUUCAAACAAAAAAACAUGUCACAUUUGGUUCAUGGGGUUGGAUGGUUUCUAAGAGAUCUAUCAUAGAUGGUUCCAAAACGAUAAACGAAAGUGAAAAAAAAGAAGAACCAAGGUGCAUCCUUUUGAACUUUUGGACAAAAAUUUAUAUGUAAGAUUAUUGAUUGAUAGAAACUUUCCAUGCAAAUUUUCAGAUCAAUUUGGGCAAAAUUCAAUUUUAAAUAAAUUAAUAGCUUGAAUAUGAACAACAUAAACAUAUAAAUUAUGAUGAUAUUUUUGUAUUUAGGUUUGAAACUUUGAAUGGAUAAUAUUGGUAGUUUACACUCAAAAGGACAGGUGUUUUAAUUUUUGGGUGGACACAGAAUAUAAUAUGAAUUUAAAACUUGAUUCAGAAAUUAGUAUCAGUGGCGGUUUUGCAUGCAAACCGCCACUAGUGCUAGAUGCAGGAGUACUGGUGCAACACCAGUGGCCGGUUCUGCAAAUAGACCGCCACCAGUGCUAGCUCCAGUGCUACAGGCACUGAGGAGCACUGGUGGCAGUUGGUGGCACAAACCGGCCACUAGUGCUAGAUCCAGGAGCACUGGUGCAGCACCAGUGGCCGGUUUUGCAAAUAGACCGCCACCGGUGCUCGCUCCAGUGCUAUAGGCACUGAGAAGCACUGGUGGCGGUUGGAGGCAAGAACCUGCCACGGGUGCUUAGCACCGGUGGCUGUUUUUCUUGGUGAACCGCCACUAGUGCUGGUGCAAAAAACCCCUUGGCCAGCAUGAGUGGCCGUUCUUUCUCUCGGACCGCCACUAGUGCUGCCAUGGUAUAAAUAGAUAGCGACGGGACUUGGCGAAAUUUCGAACACUCGCCCGCGCAUCCCAUAGACCAGCAGCGGCACUGCUAACCCUAACGCGGGCGAAGCCCUGCCCCGCCGCCGACUCACCACCACCGCCGUUCCCCUCCCCCACCCGCUUCGCCGCCGCCGUAACCCUCCUCCUCCCCCACCCGCCGUUCUCCUCCGGCCCCUCCUCUUCCCCUUCUCCUCCAUGACCCGUCGCCACCGCCGCCGCCGCCGCCAUGGUCCGCACUCGCGGAACCGGCCGCCCCGGCAGACCUUCCGCCCCGCGACGAGCAGACGGAGGAGGCGGCGCCACCCCGCUGCACGGCGGAAUUGGGCCUGCCGGACUUCGUGGACGAGGUCCGAACUCCGGCGGGCCGCCGCGACACACCACUGGGCUCCUCGGUCGCCGGUGCCGACGAGGUAAGUUCCUCGUUUCCAUAUUUUUCCUCUUUGAUUCUUAGUUUUGCUGCAAUUAGGGAUUAGGGUUAGGGUUAGAAUUCAAAUUCAUACUGUUAGAAAUUAGGGUUAGGGUUAGGGUAAAAUUAGCAAUUAGGGAUUAGGGAUUAGGGUUAGGGUAAAAUUCAUAUUGUUAGCAAUUAGGGAUUAGGGUUAGGGUAAAAUUAGGUUAGAAAUUAGGGUUAGGGUUAGGAUUCAAAUUAGGUUAGAAACAUCCUUGAUAGAAGUUAGGGUUAGGACUCAAAUUAGGUUAGGAUUCAAAUUAGGUUAGAAACAUGUUUGAUAGAAGUUAGGGUUAGGACUCAAAUUAGGUUAGAAACAUGCUUGAUUCAAAUUAGGUUAGAAACUUUCAACUUAGGGGUUAGGGUAAAAUGUGGCUUGCUUGAUAGAAGUAACAUGCUUAGGGUUUUUCUGAACAAAUUAAUUAUGUGAUGAUGUGGCAUGCUUGAUAGAAGUAACAUGCAUGCUGUUGAUGUGGGCCCGGCCAUCGUGUCGAGGCCGUUGAAAUUUAAGGGGCCGGCCAUCGCGCCGAGGGGGUAUAUGUGGUUGGAUAACUUUUACACAGGUUUCAUUGUCGGGUAGACCAAUUCGCUAGCUUUAUAGCACGGGUCAUGCCGAAUUUUUCUAGGUUUACAAUACGGGUCAUGCCGUAUUUUUCAAUUUUUUAAAGUAAUCCAUGUAAGGGCAUUGUAUAAGAAGCUCAGGGUCAUGAUGGAGAAAACCCUGAGGACUCACCUCAGGGUUCUUCAUCGUCGGGGACACCAAUAGCCCAUAGCCAAGACGACGAGCCUGAACAUGGCGGCGGUGAUCCUUCGGGCUUCAACGUAGGCUCUGAGGCUACCACGUCGCAGGCUACUUCUAAGAAGAAGAAGAAGGCGCCGCGUGGGUCUAACAAGCCGACGAAGGAGAAAUUCAUCGUCACCAAGACUGACGACGUGGGGAAACCCAAAUCACCAAAGAGGGCCACGUCGUGUUUUGCCAACACUUGCAAUGCAAUCGUUCGCGAGUUCACGAACAUCAAACAAAGAUGGACCGAGGUUCCAGAGAGCGUAAAUCAAGAUUGUUACGCCAAGGCAUGAGAGAGGUUCGAGGUGCCUGAUCCCGUGCUCGUGAAGAAGUAUUCGGAGUGAUGAAGACCACAAUGCGUAGGGGUCAGAGCAAUGGGGGUACCAAGGCCAGAGCUUUUUUGACGAAGAUUGGGAGACGGUGAUUCAUAAGAAAUGGCCGAGGAUCACAGAGGAGGAAUGGGAGGAGUUCAAGGAGAAGGAAAAGGAUCCAAAUUUCAAAAAAACCCAAGAGUGGUACGCGACGCUACAUGCCAAGAGGAAAUUUAACCACCGCCUUGGCAGUCGUGGUAUCGAGGGAAAGAAGCCGGUGUGGGAGAAGGAGGACGCCGAGCUUGCGGCAAGAGGGAUAGUCCCUCUUGUCCCAACAAUGCUCCGUCAUGACCGGUCCACCACCUUUGUGCGGAGUACCAUGACAAAAGAACAAUGGGCGGGCUUGACCAGAAAGUUUUAAUCUUAAGGCCUCAACUGCCAUUUCUUUUUCAGUUUAGCUUCUAACACACUCACUUAUAAAUUGGCACCGACUUUGUCUUAUUUCAGGACAAGGUCGCCGAGUUCGAGUCGGAAGGCUCCGACGACGAGCUCCGUGCACGGUGGGAUUCACCACUAAGCUAUGCUCUAGGAAGAAAUGAGCACGGGGGCCAUAUUCGAGCCUUAGGAACCGGGGCCCUUCGCCGCAAAGUCUUCCCUCAAGAGAAAGAAGCCCGGAGCCGUAAAAGAAAGGCCGAGAAGCACGAAGAAAUAAUAGAGGUGGCGAAAAGGGCGGCGAGGGAGGAGUUUUUCACUUGCUUGAAAAAAGCAAGGAACUCCGGCCAGACUAUGGAGGAGUUCGUUGCUACAUAUGAUGGCAACCGGGGCGCGACACCGAGGCCUAUGACUCCGCAUGAUCAUCAGUCGACUUCGAAUCCUUCGCCGCCGCCAUAUAAGAGCAGUGCUGGCUCCGGCAUCGAACUCCCGGAUGACCCUGAUGGCCCAUCUGAUGACAUCCUGGUAAGCUCCUUACUGAUACCAUAGUACACACACACACACACACACACACACACACACACACACACACACACACACUCAAUUACGUCAUUCUUCACACCAUAACACUAACGUACGUAUGUUAAUUUGUUUGUCACGCACAGAAGAGUAUUAAGUGCCGGAUAUUGAUGCCAUCCACUGGGAAUCGGUUAGGCGCGCGUGGUCUGCUGAUGCCAAGAAUGCCGGUCGUGCACAACAUGCCCAUGGCCCCGGAUCAUGUCAACGUGCAGGUGGACUACGUGCUCCCGGAAUUUGACAAGACGCCAGUCCCUUAUCCUCCAGAGGAGGAAUCAGUGACUCUAUCGCAAUGUCGGGGCACAUACAUCCAGUGGCCCAGGAGGUUGGUUGCCCUCGCUACCCAACCUUCUCCCUCUCCGUCGUGUUCUGGAGCGUCUCCACCGGCUUCCGCUCGACGACUUCCCUCUCCAUCGCCCCUUGGCCCAUCCCCCAAUAAGCCGGCACGUCCGGAUUCACCAACAUAGGGGCAAGGAGGCUUCGAUUUCGAACCACUGCAAGACUGCAAUGAUGAUGACGCUGCACCAGCUCAUGUGCCGCCGCCUAAUCCAUCGCCGCCCCACCGUAAAGACAGCCAACCCUCACAACCACCAUGACCUGCACUCGUGCCACAGAAAUCUAUGGCGGGCGCGCUGGAGUACACGUCUGGCAAGCAGGUCUCCCAGACCUUCAAGGAUCAAGAAGAGGCCGAGUUUUUGAAACGCCGGCGCACCAAUAAGAGGGGGUCCGAAAUCAGCAAGAGAUCCAAUGACUCGAAGAGUAAAGAGUUGGACUCAACGGGCAAGCAACCCAGCAAUCCGCCAAUAAUCGAAGGGAAUUGGGAAAACCGGCCAGAUGUUUUGAAUAUGAAGCCCCCCCUGUAGUUGGUGAUUUAGUCAGCUGAGCCUACUUCGUGGCCAGGGAAUUCAAUAAAGUGCUGAUGUUCUACCCUGGACAACCGAUGGUCAGCCUUAAGGACCUAAGGAGCCUGCCGCGAGAGAUGCAAGAGCUACAUGGCUACUACAUGGCAUCAUCAGCUAAUUCUGCACAACAUGGUCAACAGAUGAAUGCGAAGGUGCCAGAGUAUUAUGGCUUCUACGAUGCCGAAACGGGGGACCAACAGACAAAGGAAUUUACCUUCGGCGUGGACUUCCUUGACUUGUUUCACGUCUUCAACCAGAAGUGCUUAGACAACAACAUGUUAAGACUCCAGUGUGUAUACUUCACAAGGGAGUCCUUCCGCCUGAAAGAACCACACGUUGCCAUCGCCGAUCCUCUCCUCUUCAACAAAGCAACCAUUGGUCUAGAAGAAUGGAAACGGGGUUCGAGAGAGAAGGCAAUUUCAUACCUAGCUAAGUUCUUCGCAAUGCACAUGCAACGCCGUUAUGUUCUUACACUCUACCGUUUAGAGUAAGUUGUUCUCACGACCAUUGCUUUCUUUCUCGUUCCACUAAGUUGUUCUCUUUUCGGUUAUAAAUGUGUGUUCUUUUUGUAAACAUCGAACAUUGGGUGGUGGUGGCCUUCUCUUUCGAAGAAGGGUCGGUGACAUAUCUUGAUCCACUCCGAUGGAAGAAAGGCAUGUGCCGCGCGACUUCAAAGCCGUCGGAACACUCUUCGAAGAGGCGUGGAAAAAGGCGGUGGCUGAAUAUGAGUUGCCAAGCUACGGCAGGAAGAAAAUAACCCAUCACAGAAACUUCCCAUGCAUACAACAGCCGCAAGGUAUGGUCUUCUGUGGAUACUACUGCGCGUACAUCAUCCGCAAUUGGGUCACCAAUUUCAAUCCCAAGACGAAGAUGACCUACCAGCAGAUGGUGGAUUACUUCAAGACAGAAUAAGAAUAUGGACACAACCCAGCUGUUCUUGUGUUUGAUAUUCAGAGGGAGAUAGCCACCAUUCUCAACAAAGAGGUCUUGAAGGAAAACGGUGAUUUUUAUGAAGGCGAGGUUGUGCCGAUGUAUUGAAACUUUGAUGUACAAUGUUAAAUAUUGAAUAUCUGUGUUUUUGUAAUAAGUUUUGUGAACGGAUGCUGUUAUCUAUCAUGGAUGUGUGAUUUUCUCAUAUAUAUUGCUGUUAUCUAUCAUGCUGUUAUCUAUUGCUGUGUUGUGAUAUAUUGCUGUUACAGGAAUGUUCUAAUAUAAAAAAAUAUUUUUAAAAAACCGGAAAAGAACAGUAGUGGUUGCGUCCCACCGCCAUUGGUGCAGUACCAGUGGCAGUGACAGAGAACCGCCACUGGUGCUACAAAAGCAUACCAGUGGCGGUGAGGCAUCACGGCCACUGGUAUACCACCAGUGGCGGUGGGUAAGCACCGCCACUGGUACACUACUAGUGGCGGUGAUGACGCACCUCCACUGGUAUGUAACAGUGGUUGUCCUUCCCAGGGCCACCGGUGCACUUUCUGAAGCUCCCUACGGAUUACCAUUGGCGGUUGUGCAAACUGCCACUGGUGCUGCUAGCACCGGUGGCGGAUAUCAUCACCACCACCGGUGCUCGUUAGUGGCGGUCCGGGUUACCGCCACCGGUGUGUAAGUCGGACCGCCACUGCUAACCUGUUCCGGAGCAGUGUUAAUACAAUUUUAUUGUAAAGCAUUCUCAGUUUUUCGGAGAAUAAUGUUUGAAACAUUUACACCAUAACUCAUUAAUACACUAUGAUGUGUACAACAUUGGUUCUUUGGAGAAGAAGUAAUGUUUGAAAUAUUUACACCAUAACUCAUUAAUACAGUAUUAUGUGUAAAAUAUUUGGUUCCUUGGAGAAGAAUGUUUGAAACAUUUACACUAUAACUCUCAUUAUCCUCUUCCAAUUUGGGGGCGUACUUAAUACAAUGUUAUGCGUAAAUCAUUCGGUUCUUUGGAGAAGAAGAAUGUUUGAAACAUAUUUACGGUAUAACUCAUUAAUACAAUGUUAUGUGUAAAACAUUCGGUUCUUUGGAGUAAAAGUUUGAAACAUUUACACUAUAACUCAUUGCCUUCUGGUCAUUAUGAAAGUCAAGCAAGGCUUAUGAAAAUUAUCAACUAAAAAAGAUGUCAUUUCUUAUAAAAAUGGCUUCGGUGUUUCGAAUUGGGAGGUUUAGACCCUAAGUUAUGAAACUUCGCAGGAGAUACUUCAUUUUGUGAGCAUGUAGCAUUUCAAAGUUUUGUAUUGACUUGAAAUUUUUAUUAUUUGUAUGUAUUACCAAAAUAUGGCUCCACGCCAAAAAGUUUUAUUUUUCGACAAGGUAUUAUUUUAUUUUCUAAUGUUAAAAUGAUUUAUAAAAAGUUAAAUAAUUAUUUUUGCAGAUGAUAAUAUUAUAAUAAUUCACAUAAAUCACUAAGAGAGCUAAAAGGAGGACUACAAAAUUAUCAAGACAAGAAAAGGAAGGGUGAGAGAGAGGGUGGGAGAGAAAAUGGUUUUUUCAUAGCGUACUGUUUGGGCACACUCGGCAUAGACCUACCGAAGGUAGAGAAAGCAAGGGAAGGAGAAAAAUAAUUUUAAAACAUGUUUGUCGAGUGGGCACUCGGCAUAUAUGUUGCCCACAGCCUUUGCCAAGUGCCGUCGGAAAAGGCACUCGGAAACCGCUCCCUUUGUUGUCUGCGUGCCAGCCGUGGACGCGUGUCAGAUUGAUCAGCAUGUUUAUUUUACUGUUAAUUGCUCAUUUUCAAAAGCUAAACUCCCACUUUGAGCUUAAUUGAGGCUUUAAUUAAUGUUUAACACAUGAUUAACUCUUAAAUGAGCAUAUUUACAUGCUUAGUACAAUUAUUUCAGAUGUGUGCGUCUAGGCACAAAUUCUUCACUUUGGAAGGAGGAAAAUGGAAGAAGGCCAGCUAAAUUAUCAUCAACUACAAGCCCCUGAAGGAUCUUCUUGGGCAGAAUUGUGACAAGUUGGAGGGCUUCUUUGCAAAAUUCCCAACCACUCCAUGCUUUAGCUUAAAUACAGUAUGCCCGCCUGUGUGUGUGGGUGGCUCGAGGGGGAAGGGACCAGAGGAAAGGAGAGGAGAAGAGAGAUGGAAGCCAUGGAUGGGGAGGAAGCUCUUUGCUCGAUCGUGGUGAUUGAAGCCCUGAAGAUCUGCCUCUACCCCGUCUACUCCUUGCUUCUUCUUCUCAAGCAAAUCGGUGACAAGCUACAAUUCUUCCCUGUCUAGCUCUCUGCUUCCCUGUUGGUGCUGUGUAACCUGAAUUCAAAACCCUAGUUGUAAUCUCUCCUUCUUCUAUUGAAACAGUGCUUAGAUCUAUGUUGGUUUAGUUCAAUUCUGUGAUAAUUGUUGCUCUAGUUAUGUUCUUGUGGUUGAAUGCAGUUAAAAUUCAGUAAAGUGUUCUUGUUUCAGUUUGUUGUUGAUGUCAUGUUUAGAUUUCAAGUAAUUCCCUUUGUGAUCUGAUCUCUACCCUGUCUAAAACACUUGCUUCUUCUCUUCCCUUGUUAAAUUGCUUGUUGUCCUUUGUUUAGUUGCUUAAGUAGUGUUAAUUCUGCAGUUUUAUAAACCAAAAGCAGUAGAUCCAGUAGCUUUUCAUCUCUAUUUCAGUUCUGAAAAUUACAAAACCUUCAUCUUGCGAGACUAGCUUUGAGAAACUGUUGAAACUUAGAACUCACUCCCUGAGGAGAACGGACAAUCACUACUAUAUUUGCAUUGAUCAAAUUGGCGCCAUUGCCGGGGAGUAAUUUUGAGUGCCAACAUUAGUACCAGAGAAUAGCCCUUAACCUGUUUUAUUCUUCUUGCUUCGGCUGAUUAGUAUACUAACCUACUGUAAGAGCAACACUUUUCCUUUUAAGCCCUUUUGAUCUGUUUUUUAAUUUAAUUAUUAUCAUCAUCAUGUCAUGUUCAUGUCAUCAUCUCCAUUUUGCCAUGUCAUUAGCAUCAUGUCACAUGAAAUGUCAUAAUCCUUGCAUUAAACUUGUUGCUUCUUUUGCUUUGUCUUUUCAUGUGCUUUACAAAACCCUAAAAUAGUUUUGCUUAUUUUUAAGAGGUGGCAAAGUGCAACCUCAAAUUAUUUUCGAAACCAACUUUUGCCUUCAACAAUUAUUCUUGGGAUUAAUUAAACCCAUGCUUUCUUUUCCUCUAUUUUGAAAUCCAAUUUUCAAAACAACAACUUGCAAAUCUUUUGCUAAAACUUCCUUGUCCCUUUCUUUUAUUUUCUGUUUAUCUAAUUUUCCCUAAAUGCUAGAUUUGAAUUUUGUAAUUCAAAUCAAAGUGUGGCCCACUCCAAAUAAAUAGAAGAAGAAAUAGAAAAGGAAAAAGGGAAUUGUUUUACCUCUCAGCUGGCCCAUUCCAAACUCAGCCAACUCACCGCGCAGCCCACCUAGCCCAGCUUCUCCCGAACCGGUACGCACGCGCCGAAGACGCUUCUUCUUCCUCCCGCUUUCUCUCUUCCUCUCUCUGCUUUCUUCCUCCUGUACGGCACGCAUCUGAGCCAGCCACGUCGGCUACCCCUUUGAUUAGACGGCCCCCGCUCUCUUCCUCGCUCUAUUUAAGACGCCCCUCGGCCUCUUCUCUCCGCUAGAAACCCUAGCUAGUUCUUCCCUCUUCCUUUUUUCUGGCCGCCGCCAUCGCUCCUCACGGCCGUGGGCACCUCACCAUGGAGCCGCCGCCUCCGGCCGAACGACGACGAACCUACCGCGUCAUAAGCCUCGCCUCUUCUUUCUCUACCUCCAAACGCAAGUAUUUGGACCAUGUUCUACUACGGCGAGAGCUAGCUCCUCUUCUUCCUCUACGGCCGCCGGCACUUCCCCGCCAUAUUCCCGCGAUCUGAGGCUUCCUCGACUCCAAUCGUGUACUCCUUAGUCAUCUAAGUGAGCUCCUCUUUCUCCUGCACCUUUCCCAGUCCGUUUUGGUGCUCUGUAGUGCUCUAGCCACGUACGCGUGCUCCGGCUUGCCGCCGGUGAGCUGCUGCUCGUCAUCGCGCCGCUGCACCUAUAAGGAACCUGCGACGGCCUUCGUGACAUCUAGAUAUGCUCCGCGUUCCGCUGCUUUUACGCCGCUUAGCCGCCCUCCACCGCCUCUGUUGGUCUCCGGCGCCGGUGAAGAUGGACGUGCUGCCGUGUGUUCUAAAGGCUCCGCCAAUUGUCCUGUUAAGACGCUGCGCGUCCAAUCUGUAGGACGAUCUGCUCACCUGUCCCAGUGGCUUGCUCCUUCGUCCGUUUCCCAGAUCCCAGGCGACAGGAGUUCGAAUCCCCUCCGUUAGAAAUAAAUCCCCAAACUUUUUCCAGUUAUACGAAACUGACAGGUGGGACCCCUUGGUCAGUGACCGUAGGGACCAGUUCAGCGCGCCCCGCCGCGUCAGCCCUCCCGGGCCCGCUGUCAGUCUUACAGCUAGAUGCACCCGAGUCCCUUUAGUUUCUGUGUUUUGUUUUCCAAUUAAAAUUCCAGAUUAUUUGCUUUGUUCUUGUUUAAAUCAUAUCUUUUGCAUACCUUGUCCAAAUCAUGCAAACUUUAUAUGCAAAUUGUUCCGAAAAAUAUAAAGAAUCAAUAUGUGCCAUCUGUUUUCUGAAUUGAACUUGUUUAAUUCGUUUAAUUCAUACAAGUUGAUUCCUAACUCCAAAAUUGGCGAACCUUAUAUGAAUUUUGAUCACCAAGACCUUCUUAACCUGUUCAUGGCAUUCUCAUUCAUGAUUGGACAACUUGAACCUGUUGUUUAGUGUAAAACAUCUAAUUAAUGCAUAUGGAAUUUGAAUUCCAAUGCUUUAGAAAUUCCAAUCCAUUUAAUGUGAUUAGUGUAUCAACCACUUGCUGUUAAUAUGUCAUGCAUCAUCCCUCUGUCCCACAUCCUUCUUUGAAUGCGCAUAUUAAUUACCAUGUGAACUUGUAUGCUUAUACCUUCUUCUACUUCUAUGUUGUGUAUUUGCUUCUUCCUCGUUAGUCCUCGGUUCCUACGACGACGACUACGCUUGUGUUCUUCUUCCAGGAUUCUUGCUCAAUUUCGGGCAACUGAGUACUCCAGGCAAGCAGCCAUUCCUUCAUCAUGCUUCCUCACAAGGUGUUGAGGGGGUGAUAAAACGAUUAUGUUGUUUGGUGUUUAGUAAAUAGGUUAAUCACCCUGCACCUGGUAGACGCUUCUCUUCCUCUGAUUAGACGUUGUUAUUAGAGUGUCUCUCCAGAUAUUGUUGCUUCUGCAUAACCCCACCAUAUAUACCUCCUUUGAGACAUGUUACAUGAAUAGUAUAGUUCUCCGCGUAAGUCUUGCGAGUACUUUGUAGUCAGUUGCUUUGCAACGUUGUUUUAGAGAUUCCAGCAGAGCAGGUGAGCUAUCGCUUCGUGGAGCACGAUGUUGGAUUCGGUGUUUAGCCAGGAGAUCCAGAUCAAGGUUCUGAGACUUGUUGCGGGUUUCCUUCCAGCUUCCAGCUUCUUCAGGCCAUGCUGUAUUCUUGUCCGUACUCGGGCAUAGUUCGAUUUCCAUUGAUGUAAUGAUGUAAUGUUGGGACAUGUGUACUCUCUUUGUAAUAAUUGUUAUUCUGCUCCUUAUACUCUCUUCUGUAUAGUUUUGUAAUGAUAUUCAUGUUGCAAAAUCCUGCGAUGAGCACCAUGCGUGUUCUGCGUUGAAGUGUUCAUCGUGGGUUAAGAACAUGAGGCUUGAAUUAUGCAAAGAUUAGCAAUUGGGGCUAAAUUGCAUAAUUCCGGUCCCAAGCACCUACUAAGAAGUUGUUGGUUAUGAGUGUGUGUAGGAAAAUUGAUGCAUGAUAACAAGAGCACAGUUAUAUAGAUUGAGAGAUAAUCCAGAGUUAGCAAGAACAAUCUGUUAGAUCAGAGAAGGAUUGAGACAAACUGCUAGAACUAGAAGAAAGCCAGUAGGUAUUGAAACUUCAGACAGUUCAUCUUUUGUCAGUGGCUCUGAAACUGAAAUUUCAGCAAUGAGAGAUACAACUUUGGUCCGGUAUUUAUGGAUACCAAAUCAUCAGAAUGUGGCUGCAAAUGUCACACGACCAGUCAUUGAAGCAAAUAACUUUGAGUUGAAGCCGGCUCUGAUAAGUAUGGUUCAACAUUCUCAGUUCAGUGGCUCAGCUCUUAAUGAUCCUCAUGAGCACAUUAACCAGUUCCUAGAGUACUCUAAUAUAAUAUAGAAGAUGAAUGGGGUUUCAACUUAUGUCAUUAAGCUUCAAUUGUUCCCAUUUCCAUCGAGAGCUGGUGCAACAUGUGGCUGAACGCUCUGCCUGCUAGCCAAAAGAACAGCUGGGUUCUUUGAGAAGUAUUACCCACCUAUGAAAGCAGCAGAAUACAGAGACAAGAUAAACAAUUUUGUGCAGCUUCAUGAUGAGAGUUUGUAUGAUAUCUGGAAUAGAUACCAAACAUUGCUCAGGAUGUGCCCCCAUCAUGGAUUGGAGAGAUGGUUGGUUUUGCAAACUUUUUAUAAGGGUUUGACACCUAGUACUAGAGCAUUGGUUGAUUCAUCAGCAGGAGGAGGCUGUUCCUGGUAGAGAAAAUACACAAAACCAUCACAUUUAGGGCAACAUUUUAAGAAAACUACCUUUAAAAAAAAUACAAAUGACCAUCGCUUUCGAGCACCGAGGUACUUCCGCGCAUUGAUUAGCCAGUUAAGAGCGUUUUGACAAAAAAAACUUGACAAGAGGACCCACAUAUCGGUGCCACCAUGGCGCCACGCUAGACAAGCUCUGUUCCCCUCCCGAGCUCUCCUUUUCCCCAGUUUCCCUCCCUCGUUUUCUCCUCAGCCGAGCCGCCUACUGCUCCUACUCCGGCGAUCUCGUUGAGCUCCCCUCAAGAUCCGCGCCCCUAAUCUGUCCUCCGCUUAACAACCUUCACCCAUUAGUUGGACCGAGCGCUUCCGUCGAUCACCUCCCUGACCCUCGACAGUCAGCCUGUAUUGGUAGCACACGCCACUAGCGCUGCCGGCUGUGUCGUCCGCGAUGCUAGCGAUGUCUCUGACGUGGAGUGCGGCCGCGCACGAGUAGCCUUGAAGGAACUGGUCCACGCACUGCUGCAUCGUCACGUUGGUCAGCGGCGAGUCGGCCUUGAGCAUGAUGGUGUCUCCUCUCACCUCCACCAUGGCGUACGACGACGUCGUGUUGCAGGUCAGGGUGUUGAGGCAAGUGUACGCCGUACAGGGAGAAGUCGUCGCAGGUCCCAGAGGAGGAGCAGACUCCAUGGACGCCGCAGGCGAGGGGAAGCUCGUAGAACCCCCAGCGCCUUGUAUGUGGCGCUUAAUCAGUUGAGGCCUUGGUCGAAGAAGUAGAGGCCCAUGUUGCCGUCGUCCCCGAGCUCAAAGAAUCUGGCCCCCUGCAGCCCCGCACCCGAUUUCUCCACCGCCAGCGGGAUUCGCGCCAUGCAUGGGCCGCCCUGACGAGUCGAGCAUCGUUAGCCCCGACGCGUCCAUUCCUGCGAAUGUCAUCGUCUCGUUGUUGCGAGGAGUCAGCUCCCGGUAGGUGUAAUGGCGGUGCCCGAAGACGAGAUAUGCGGCGAUCUUGUAUGAGAAAAGAGUUUAGUGACAAUGACUAGUGUGCUCAAGCCACAAAUUAGUUGACUUCUUUUGGUGAGAAAAUAUACUACUUGUCAUUUGCUCAAGGUAAAAAAAAUGGUAUUUAGACUUGUGUGUAAAACAUUUGCAUGGUUCCCAAGAAAAAAUGUCUGAAACAUUCAUAAGUUACUCUGAUUUUUUUUGUAUGAAUGUAAAAGGCACUAACUCAUGACAUAUAUAUUACACAAGCAACAAAGUGAUAUAAACCAAGAGGCAUAGGUGUCAAUACACUAGACUUGAUACGACCAAGUGCUUUUGUAUGCAAGUGAACUGGGGAUGUGAUUGCAGGCCAUACUCGAUGGAUGAGAGGGUAGCUUCAUCGAUCCAAAGAGGUUUCCCAAGAGAUGGAAACAGUGGGGAUAUGUCUGUCCUGCAUUUCGAUACCACAAGAUGCGCCCUCAUUUUGCUAUUUCCAAGAUCCUUCCAACAUACCUGUGUCGGCACACCUGCGUCGCCUGACAGUAGGGAGGAAAAGGAGGACAAGACUGCUGGGCCAACACCAAGGGCCAAGAGGAGGACGUGUCUGCCGGCCUGGUUUGCAGCCAGGACUGGGUCUUGUGAGACCUUCUAAUCAUUUUGUUAUUUAGCUAGGUAUAUCGAGCUUCCUUGUAACUUGGCUUUCGACAAAUAACCAAACGGAACAGAUGGUUGUGAGGGUGGAUGGAAGGAACAGCUACCGAACCAAAAUAUUCGUUGAUUGAGUUCUUGAUGGUUCGUAGCUAAAUGCAGAGUCUUACAACAAGACCUGUCCUAGAGGAGAAAAUUCGCUAGCUACGGUGCCCACGGCUCCACUCCCUAUGUCUUCAUCCAGCUUGUUAUCCGUGGCAAUGAAACAAAUCAUUCCCUCACCAGUGUGGGAGUUAGCAUCUACUCUGGCAUUGUUUAUGAAAUAAUUUGGUGAGAAGAGAGUUCAGUGACUAAUGUGUUCAAGCCACAAAUUAGUUGACUUUGGUGAUGAAAUAUACAGCUUCUCAUUUGCUCAAGGUAAAAACACAUGGUAUUUACAUUUGUGUAAAACACAUUUGCAUGGUUCCCUAGAAAAAAUUUCUGAAACAUCCAUAAGUCUAACAUCAUAAGUGAAUGCCAUGGUCUUGUUGCGAGGAGUCAGCUCCUAGUAGGAGUAACGGCGGUGCCUGAAGACGAGAUAGGCAGUGAUCUUGUAUGAGAAAAGAGUUUAGUGACUAUGACUAGUGUGCUCAAGCCACAAAUUAGUAGACUUCUUUUGGUGAGGAAAUAUACUACUUGUCAUUUGCUCAAGGUAAAAAAAAUGGUAUUUACACUUGUGUGUAAAACAUUUGCAUGGUCCCCAAGAAAAAAAAAUCAUGGUAUUUACACUAGUGUAAAACACAUUUGCAUGGUUUCCUAGAAAAAGUGUCUGAAACAUUCACAAGUCUAACAUCACAAGAAGAACACUACUCCAGAAUGUAAAAAAUGUCUGAAACAUUCAUGAUUUUGUUUCUGGAAAUCCAGCAGGACGCAACACAAAUAGGCCAGAUACAAGUUUUGCUACAACAACAUAAGUUCAGCUGCUGCUGCCAAUUAUUCAAGUUCAGUUGCAGAUCUGGUAAACGGCCUCCACUAUCAGCUCCUCGUCUAUUGGCUUUGUCAGGUGGAGAUCCAUCCCUGCUUCAAUGGCCUCCUGCAGGCCUUCCUCCAAGGAAUGCGCUGUCAGUGUGAUGAUCGUGGGGUGAGGAUCACGUAGCGGCUCUCUUCCUUGCGGAUGGGCUUGGUCGCCUCAUAGCCGUCCAUCUCAGGCAUCCGAAACAAAACAGAGAGGGAUUAAUUGAUGUCUGAAUUGGAUCUUCUUGCUGGACGACAAUCAAAGUAAAUUAUCAAAUCAAACGAAUUGAAUUGCGUGGCACUCCAUGAAAACAACAUCAUGGGUCAAACCCAAUGCAUUUAGGGUAUGUCUACUUGUUGUCAUAGUUUCGAGGGACUUAAAUGGCAGAGAUGUCUCCCCACUUUAUGGUAUAUUCCAAGAGAUUAUGCAUGAAGGAAAUGGCAACAAAUAUCAGAUAUCACAUAGAUCGAACUCAACGGAAGAAAAUGUAUAAUGUAUUAGCGAUGUUAUGGCAAAUAAAAAAAAUCCUCGACCUGCAAAGGGGCAAGCCACCUCAGGCAUUUGCAUUAAGAAGAACACUGUUCACGCAGGUCGAGAAACCCCCAAACCCCUUACCACACACCGCACACAGCAACACCGAAGCCCGUUGGACCUGAUCGAGGAGUGAUAUUUGAUUUGUUCCCUUAACCAUUACGCCAAGGGCUUGUUUGCAAUAUUAAAUGGCAAAGGUAGUUUCUUUCUAUAUGGUAUUUACACUAUUAGGAUGCAGUACACUAAUAUGUCUGAAACAUUAGGUUCCUCGGGAAAAAUGUCUGAAACAUUUAUAAGACUUAUAUGUAGCAAAAGCCAAAGUGUUUCACUGCGCCUUUUUUUAUCACUUGACAACCGUGUACUGAUGAAGGCAGGGCUUAGGGCUAACACAUGCCCGAUAAGAUUGCAGAUGAGCUUGGUUCUGUAGGUUUCUGGUCCAUAGUCAAGAAGCUGACGAAAGAGAUAUAUACAAGUACUAUACCAUAUGCUCGACCUCGAUUAAACCGUACAUUAGUACUCUAUAAGAUGAAAACUGACAUAUAUGAGGUUGAGUAAGAAACUUUCAUGACAACAGAAUUUUGGCGAACACAUCGUCGUAGACCAGUGUGGACACUCGAGGCGUCAUUUCACUAUAUAGCAUCACUACUUCCCCUGUGGUUGCUAUGUCAAGCUUCUUUGUUAUGAAACGGCUUCCCACUGGAUGGACACUGCAUGUAAAAUACAUCAGGAUUUAGCCACAGAGUAUCGCAAUACAUAUCAAUGCUUCAAGCAAUACAAUAGGAUGCGUAAUCUUAUGGACAUAUAUAUUGACAGAAGCUAUUUUUGAUUUUUAACAAUGUACAUGAAUGAGGCCGCAUAGGAUUGUUCCCUGGAUCAUACUUGAUCCGGUGAAGAAGGGAACCAAACGCAGAGUUCCUGCUAUUUAUUCCUGUACCCAAAAAACUGUGGAUGUUGUCCAGUCUGCCGCUAGCGUAUGCCAUCUCAACAUCACGAGCAUAGAGAUUCUUGAAAGCUUCAGGAGACUGAUGGAAGAUUUUGGCGGCAACCAAUAUCAGAUAUCACAGAAGAACUCAACGGAAGAAAAUGUAUUGGAACCGAAUUUUCGUUUAGCAAUUUCUAGACGAACCGAUCGGUGAACAUUUUCUAGAAACCAAAUUUCUUAAGAAACUAAGGAACCGACGGAUUGGUUUGGUCUAACCGAAUGCCCAUUGCCUCUGCCCAGUCUCAUGUUACACGGGUAAAUCGUAGAUGAAAUAGAGCGCAAAAGUAAACAUACACAAAAAUGGGUUUUGACAUAAAUUUCUUAUUUUUCUUUUUACUUUUCUCCAGUACAAUUAAAGUUCUUAUAGUUAAUUCUUAAUACUGAAAUUAGAUUGAGUGGGAUAACAUCUUAGAUGAUCAUUGUCCCCAAAUAGACUCUGUAGUGAUUGUCCCGCACUCACUCUCGCACACCUUCUUUUUUCUCGUCCCGACAGGCCCCGCCCCGCCUACUCUCUUCUUUUCUCCUGCGAUGCCUCCUCCUAAACAAAACAUCGCCGACGUCCUUCUCCUCCACACGCGACAUCGUGUCCGCCUCCGUCCUCCUCCUCCCCACAUGUCUUCACCGCCCGCCCUUUUCCUGGAAGGCUGCCGCCUCCACCCUUCCCCGCUCCUAGGGAGGCCGGACCCGCACCGCUGAUGUCCUCCCCAUGCCGGAUCCCACCCCACCUGGCCUUCCUAUGGUUGGAUCCCGACGUUGUGCUCGCCGCCAUGCACUGUCAUCGGAGGUUGUCCUGCGCAGAUUGGUCAGUAUUUUUUCCUUUUUUAUUCAUCUCCAAACUUAGAAACUCCCCCGCGCCGGAUCCCUCCCGACCUGGCCUUCCUAUGGCCGGAUCUCGGCGUGGUGCUCGCCACGACGCGUCGUCAUUGGAGCUUGUCCCGCACUGAUCUGAUGAGUAGUAUUUGUUUCCUUUUUAAUUCUUCUGCAAACUUAAAAACUCCCCCGCGCCGGAUCACGAUCUUCCUACGACCGGAUCGAUCUCGCCGUUGUGCUCGCUGCCAUGCACUGUCAUCGGAGCUCUCAUCCCGCAAAGAUCUGGUGACUAUUUUUUUCCUUUGUUUAGUUCUUCCGCAGACUAAAAAACUCCCUCGCGUCGGAUCGGCCCCACCUGGCCUUCCUACGGCUGGAUCCUACCGUUAUGCGCAGAUUUGGUGAGUAUUUUUUUUCUCUUUUUAUUAUUCCGCAAACUUUAAAACCCCCCUUGUCAGAUCCCUCCCCACCUGACCCUUCCUACGGCUAAAUCUCGCCGUUGUGCUCACCAGUACGCGCCGUCAUCAGAGCUCGUCCUGUGCAGAUCUGGUGAGUAUUUUUUUUCCUUUUUUUUAAUUCUACUGCAAAAUUUAAAAAUCCCAUGCGCCGGAUCCCGCCCUGGUGUUCGCUGCCGUGCACUUUCAUCGGAGCUCGUCCCGCACUGAUCUUGUGAGUACUUUCCUUUCCUUUUUAGUUCUUCUUCAAACUGAAAAACUACCCCACACCAAAUCCACCCCACCCGCCUUCCUACGGCUGGAUCCUAUCAUUGUGCUCAACUCCAGGCACCUUCAUCGGAGCUCAUCCCGCACAGAUCUAGUGAGUAUUUUUUUCUUUCCUUUUUUUAGUUCUUCUACAAACUGGAAAACUCACCGGCACCGGAUCCGGGCCCCACCUGGCCUUCCUACGGCUGGAUCCUGCCGUUGUGCUCGCCCCAUGCGCCGUCAUCACAGUCGUCGAGCUCGUCCCGCGCGGAUGUGAUGAGUAUUUUUUCCCUUUAAUUUAAUUGUUCUGCAAGAUUAAAAACUCCCCCAUGCCGGUCCCCGCCAUUGUGCUCGCCGCCACGCGUCGUCAUCGGAGCUCGUCCCAAAAUACAAGGAGGUCCCAAGUAUUUGAUAGGGAAAUGAGAGUUUUGUUUAAUCAGACAAUUAAUCCCUAUUAUUGGAUGCUAUGGUUACUUCCCACUUAAAUAAGACUUCAUUUCAGUAGGAAUUAGCUAGGCAUCGUAUGCAUGUGUGAAACUUUUGUAAGUAAGAAUAUUUGUAUUUUUCACUAAUGAAAGUAGCCUUCUCUCUCUUUCAACCGAGCAAAUCAUAUUCUCUUUCCACCACAGAGUGGCAUUUAAUUUUCAAAACAUGCAUAUCCAAUAAUGAUAUCACCUAAUAAUGGAUUUCUAUUAUUAUAUAAGACUUCAUAAAUGCAAAAACAUACCUUAC